GAGGGAAGAGGUGUGGGUUGCAGAGGGAAGAAGAAAGGGAGGAGGUUAAGGGAGGUAGAAGACGGAUGGUUUUUUUUUUUUUUUUUUUUUUGUAUUUUUUUUUUAAUUUGUUAAUAUUGAAGUGGGCCCAUAUUGACACAUGGCGCUCAGUUAUUAUCCACAUAGGUGCCACAUCAUCAGUUAACAGAAGUUCUAACAGAAAAUUUAACAAAUGUAUGAAAAUGUCCCAAAAUUAAGACUUGAGGUAUGACUCUGGGAUGAAAAAAAAUUUAUGUACCAAAUGUUGAAAACCACGAAACAUCAGGGUAAUAAAUUGAGAUUAACCCAAAACAUUAAUUACAUUUCACCUUCUUCCUAUGCAAACCUAAUAAGCUUUUCUUUCUUAUCAUUACUCAAUUUGUUUGUAAUCCAUUCUCAUUCAAACUGGCAGAGAGCGUGGCAAAUUUUUCAUCAAACUCUCCAUCUAUGUCUCCAGUAUGUCUCAUUAAUUUAAGGGUUAAUCUCAGUUUACUACCUUGAAGUUUCGUGGUUUUCAAUAUUUGGUACAUGAAGUUUUUUUCAUCUUAGAGUCAUACCUCAAGUCUUAAUUUUGGAACAAUCUCAUACUUCCGUUAGUUUUUCUAUUAAGAGCUCUAUUAAAACGUGACGUGGCACUUGACUGGAUGAUGACUGUGCAAAAAUGUGACACUGUGGGCCCCACAUAGACAUAUAAACCCAAUUAAAAUUUUUAAAAUAUUUUUUUUUUCCUAUCCCUUUCUCCAGCAAAGAGACCGAAGAAAUAAAAAAAUAAAUUAUAACCUCUAUUCUUUAUCGCCUAUACCUUCUCCAGCCAUCCCUUAUCUCCCCCUGAUAACCCACUCCCAAAGCUUCCCAAGCCACCAUUUUUCACUCACCCACCACACCGAGAACCCAUAUCCUCCACUUUCCUCACCGCCUCCAUCUUAUCUUUCGCCUAUCUCACUGUCAUAGUCAUCUCCUUCACCAACCCUCUCGCUGCCAUAGCCGUCGAUUACGACGAUCCAGAUCCGAAGACCUUCUGGAAGAUUCCACAACGUGUUGAACAUGGCCACGAUGGUGAUCGAUAGCUUGGAUCUGGCUACGAUGGCGAAUGAGUUUUUUACGAUCGAGUACCCCGACCAGAUUGGGACGAAACAAUGACUUCAGAUCGUGGCUUCGUUCGUAGAUUUUAGAAACAAAUUCUUUAAACCAGAAGGAGUCCAUGACCUUGGCGAUGUCUUCAGAUCUCAGUGUUAGACUCCACUGUUGUGGCAGAAAUCGAUGGUGGAGAGAGCUUCUGGAAAUAGCUUACCGCCGCGGAUCAGAUCCAUUGCGAAAUAGAUCUUGAACUUGCGCGCCAUGACCUUUUGGAGUUGGACGAUGUUGGGUGCUUCACCAUCCUCGUCACAGAGAAGAGGAUGGUUUGUUGGGUUGGUGCAGAUGAGCGAAUGGAGGGAUAAGGGAGGAAGGGAAGGUCGGGGGAGAUAGAAGACGACCAAAUUUUUUUUUUAAAUUUUUAAUUUCUACGUGGACCCCUUGAUGACACGUGGCGCUCAGUCAUUGUCUACAUGGAUGCCACGUCAUCAGUUAGCGGGAGACUUAACAGCCAAACUAACAUAUGUAUGAAACUGUCCCAAAAUUAAUACUUGAGUAUGACUCUGGGACGAAAAAAACUUCAUGUACCAAAUGUUGAAAACCACAAGACUUGAGGGUAGUAAACUGAGAUUUACCCUUAAUUUAAUAUCCCAAACCACAUUAAAAAAAAUCCGGAUCCCAUAUCGAAAAACUCCCAAACCGAUAACGUCGAAUAUUUUUGGAUCCAUACCGAAUCAAUCUCAAACCUUUCGGUAUGGGAAUCAGGAUUACAUAUUCAGUGGUUGGGGAAUGCCAAACUGAACCGAAAAUAUAUUUAUAUUUUGUUUGCAUGCAUUUUGAAUUUUGAAUUUAAGUAGUUUGAUGGUAGGCUAUAUUAGAAAUAGAAGUAUGAAAUUUAGUUGUUUGGAACGUCAAUUUGACUUGGUAUAAAUGGAUUGGUAUUUCAAUUGGUAUGAGGUAAAAAGCCUAAAUUUCAAUUGAAAUGAAAUUGGGGAACAAAAUUUCAGGCCGAAAGCCCAAAUUUUUGCCCACAACCCAAAACCUAGUCUCGAUCCAUCCCAAAAUAUCGAAAACGUUUCGGGAAUCCCGAAAAUUGAAAAUACUGAAAUUUCAGUUCGAGAUUGAUCUUCAAAUUUCUGUCUCGAAAAUUUUUAGUUUGGGAUUCAAGAUCCUAUUUUCGGUUUGGGAUCCCAUACCGAACCACCUUUACUUUAAACUUGAACCUUCUUCUUCGUUUCUGAUAUGUUUGGGGUAAAAAGUAAAAAGUGCUUUUUAGUUAAAAAAAAAUACUUGAAGUGCUUUCUGAAAGAAGCAUCUUCUAUGUGCUUCUUUUAGGAAGUGUUUCAAGUGUUUUUUUCAAGAAGCACUUGCAUUUUUAAUUUAAAAUUUCAGUAUAAAAUCUAAUAGAAGUGCUUUUACUAGAAGUUCUUUUGAUAAAAAAUGCUUUAAAAAAAUUUCAAACGAGCUCAUAGUUUCUAGGGAAAAUGCUAGGGGGACCAUAUUUUUGCACCACAUCGUUGUACCAUGUAGUGUGGCAAGUGAUUUGUACAUGUCAUGGCAUUUAGUGAAUUUAUCUCACGUGUAAUGUUAGGGAGCACACAUACAACAAUAUCUAAUGAGAUGAAUACAUUAAUUGUCGUUGCAUGUACAUGCAGUAAUUUGGCAUCUAUAGCAUUUUCCUUAUCAUUAGAUGUUGGUUGUACAUAUAACUUGCCACAUGAGAUGAUACAUCAAUGUGGUAUAUUUUUGUGGUUUCAUAGCAUUACUCAGUUUCCAGAUAUUUAUUGGGUGUCAACGAAAGUUUUUUUUUGUUUACGUAGUUAUGAAUGACUUUUUAGCUUUCCAAUUAAUUUCAUUUGAAGUUAUUUAACUCUAUUAUUAUUAUUAUUGUUGUUGUUGUUGUUGUUGUUGUUGUUGUUGUUGUUGUUGCAUAAGUUAUUAAACUUUUACAUAUUGUAAUUCCAAUUUAUUUUUUUGGGAUUGGCCACAGUAGUUACAUAUAUUUAGUAUAGUGAUAUAUAUACGAUUGUUAAUAAUCUUCUCCAUUUUUUCUCAUUGUUGGAUGCUGAGAAAAUACUGCGAAAAAACUGUGGUAUUGGUGGAUCUUUGGUGGAAAUAGAAGUUAUAUCACAUAGAACUACUACAUUAUUGUUCUUUCAAUUUCAAUAUGGCCUUCAAUUCAUUGCAGUAAGUAAACAGUUUUGUUUGUUUGUGGUGAUAUAUAUUUUUUAAUUUGUACUCAUCCUAUUUUGGUUUAAUUUUGAUGACUUAAUUUUGUUUGUUAUUAAUUUUAUUCUAAGAUGGGUGGAUAUAGUGAAGACAUGAUCCUGACGAUAUGUCAUCCUUCAUUUAAAAUAGUUAUCUUUUAUAUUCAAUACUCACUUAUUCUCUGAAAUUUCUGAUAUAGGAUUGCAUUUACCAACACUCCUCGUCAAUAGAACCUGUCCCUUAUCUGCCACAUGUGCAGCCAACACUCACUUUUUCUCAAGUAGCAGCAGAUUGUCAUGAAAUUGUCAUUAGCUUAGGCCCGGAUUGUGCCUAGUGGCUCAUUAUUAAUCACAUCAAUAUUUUCUUAACUUAAUCAUCUAUACAACUUUGCAGGUGUUGAGUAUUAUCACAAUCAACCUUAGUGAAAAGUGGAGCCAUUUAAUAUAAUUUGUUAUUUAUUCUGUCAAAUGUUCAUUGUGAAUUGAUACGAAUCAAUAAUUUGAUCAAGUUGACUGAAUUAUAAUCAACUUUAUAACUAAUCUAUUCUAAAGAUUCAAUGGAUAUGCUUCCUGCGGGUUAGAAUUUCUUGAUCAAGCAUGCGUCAUUGGAGCUGAUUCAAAUGUUGCUAUAUACUCUCACCUUCAGAAAAUAGAUUUAAUACUAUCAGACAUGCAUCUAAAAAUUCAGUUCAAAUAUCAUGUCUCCAUCUUAUGUUUGUUAGCUAUUUCCUUUUUAGCUAGGUCAACAUCAGUUAAACUUUCAUGAAACUUAUUCUCAUUAAAUUAUCAAUGAUAACAUUGAAUUUCAACUCGCUUACCAAAACAAAAAUUUCGUUAUACAUUGAAUCGAAAUUGCCAUUGAGGUCACAUUACGUGUUGAGAUGUGAUACUAAAACACAUAAAUUGUAGUUGAAAAAAAACAGCAAUGUCACUCAUGUCAAGUUUAAGGUAAUAAUUUUCCUUUUUUACAUUGAAUAAUCAAAAUUUCUUUGCUCUAGAUGUGAUUGUUGAAGAAUGCGCAAUCUCACGUCUGAAAUUUAAAGAAAAAAAAAAUUACAACUUAUAGUGAAUGGUUUUACUAUUAAUUGCAACGAGGUCUAUCGGAGAAUCAUCCUCGUCAACAGAUGUGGUGCCGUGCACAGGAGGCGGCAUAAUUACAUCGUGGUUGUGUUAAAGUAGCCAUAAUAGUUGUAAAAUGAUCUGGUCGAGAGGUUCUUGAGUUCCACUCUCAAUGAAAGUACCAGUUGUUGAAACCAAAUUUGUAUAUCGUCGUGUGUGUUGGAGAUGCUCAAGCUCGUUAACUUGUAAAAGAACAAACGACUGAAAGCAAGCUAAAGACCGAAGGGGUGUGUGUCUGUGUGAUGGCUAAAGGCUAUACGACAUCAAGUCAGUAAGCAAUAUUAAGACUCAAGCAGUGGGCAAGAGAAUAAGUGUGCAAAGAUAGCGUUACCAAACAUGAACCACUUUUAGGGUGUAUUUAGACAAAUAGAGGAGAGGACCUUUUAGGAUAGUAAAAUCCUUAUUAAACUGGGAGAAUCCCAGAGGAUAUCUAGGAAGUAGAUAUUGAAUCCUCUUAGGAGUGUAUUUACUUGCGGCGCAUGUCAAUCCUUAGAUGGUAAGGAAUUCAAGAUUAUAGAAAACAUGCUGAUUCCUUACUGAAUUGGGUUCUUGAAUCUUAUGGAACAAGCAUGGUCUAUUUCAGUGAAGUCGACGGACUUCGCCCACUGAUUCCAGAACAAGAUGAUUGUGGCAUCAUUGAAUCGUUUAAUCAGCUCUACAAUGGAGGGUGUUGAGUCUAUGGCUGGACUACUGAGGUAGACGUCUUCCGAUCCGACUUACUCUGGCCCUGAAAAAUCGUGAUCCCAUAGUAAACAAUCAAAACUACUAGUUCAUUUUUAUAAGAAUAUUACUUGUAUAAAUGUCGAAUCCAUCAAUGAAUAAGUUUCAGAUAAAAAAAUGUGAUAACAUAAAUUUGGACGGCAAUUUCAUAAUAGAUUCAUUAAGCUUGAUUUACUAGUACAAGUUGUUAUUAAAUAACAAACUGAUAUACCAACUACUACUGUAUGUCUCCUUCGCAUUGUUUAAUCAAUGAAAAAUAAUAAUACGUAAGUUAAUACUAGUAACCUUCAAUAAUUUCCUGCCUAACAAAUAUAAUAGUAAGUUUCUUGUAACUCAAACUUCAUUAGCUAAGCAUGGAAGAAAAAAGAGAAGUUAAUAAAUAAAUUUCUCUGUGAUGAUAAUCAAGACUUCAUACUAGUGAUUGUGAUAGUUAUGCUAUGUCAAUAAUUCAGCCAACAGCCCACUACUUACCACACAAUCAAGCCCCAAUGUAAUCAGGAAUCGAAUCAUUCAGUAUAAGUUGUCAUUUAUUCUCUGAAAUUUCUGAUAUAAGAUUGUAUUUUUCAACGCUCCUCCUCAAUAGCACCUGUCUUUGUGGGCCAUAUGUGCAACCAAUUCCACAUUAGUAGCCUUUUAUUUUGUUUCUUUUUCUCAAGUAGCGGAAGAUUGUCAUAAAAUUGUCUUUAGCUUGGGCCGGAUUGAGGAAAAUCUGCUUGAUACCAAUUCAAGAUGUAAGGCUAGUGGUUUAUUAUUAAUCACACUAAUAUUUUCUUAACUUAAUCACCUCUACAACUUUGCAGGUGUUGAGUUUUAUAAAAAACGAUUUUAGUGAAAAGUGGAGCCAUUUAAAAUAAUUUGUUAUUUAUUCUGUCAAGUGUUCAUUGUGGAAUAAUACGAAUUAAUAAUUUGGUCAAGUUGACUAAAUUAUAAUAAACUUUAUAACUAAAUCUAUUCUAAAUAUUCAAUGGAUAUGCUCGCUGCGAGUUAGAAUUUCUUGAUCAAGCAUGCGUCAUUGGAGCCGAUUCAAACGUUGCUAUAUGCUAUCACCUUCAGAAAAAAAAUAUUACUAUUACUAUCAGACAUGCAUUUAAAAUUUCAGUUCAAAUAUCAUGUCUCCAUCUUAUAUUAGCUAUUUCCUUUCUAGCUAGGUCAACAUCAGUUAAACUUUCAUGAAACUUAUUCUCAUUAAAUUAUCAAUGAUAACAUUGAAUUUCGACUCCCUUACCAAAACAAAAGUUUUGUUAUACAUUUCAUCGAAAUUGCCAUUGAGGUCACAUUACGUAUUGAGAUGUGAUACUAAAACCUAUAUAAAUUGUAGUUGAAAAAACAGCAAUGUCACUCAUGUCUAGUCGAAGGUAAUAAUUUUCUGUUUUUACAUUGAAUAAUCAAAAUUGCUUUGCUCUAGAUGUGAUUGUUGAAGAAUGCGCAAUCUCACGUCUGCAACUUAAAAAAAAAAUAUUACAACGUAUAGUCAAUGGUUUUACUAUUAAUUGUACUGCGGCCUUUUGAGAUCAAAUCUAACACCAUGUUGGAUUGGGCAAAUAAUAAAAUUAGAAAUACCAAUAUGAUUAGUAGUAGACCGUUGCUCCGAUUGUGACACGUUGAUAGUGAUUCCUUCAUCUGUAUAACACUCAACCCACAUUGACUUGAUUUUGGAAUUAGAUAUGUGCGAUCUAAACUGUUAUUGCAUGGUUUGACCAAGGAGCUAGAUUUAUUGUAAAAAAUAAAUUAUUGUAGAAUUAUCAGAGAGACUGGUCAUACGGCCCACUUCCAACAACACCGAUAUUGUCCCCAACUUGGUAAUUACCACCUGCACAAUCCGUCAGGUGUGGGGUUUUAUCACAAAAGGCCUCGGUUAUAGUUGGAGUGGGAUUAUGAUAUUUAAACUCUUAUUUUUCCAUUGAUACGGUCGAUGUGGGACAUUUCAAUACGCCCCCUCACGUGAGACCCAAUUAGUGGGUCACACGUGGGAGAUCCACACAUCGACAAUCACAACCACGUGGAGCCAAGGGGACUCACCCUACACGCAGGGCCAAGGGACCCACCAUCAUCGCGCGGGGCCAAGGGGACCCACCCAUCACGUGGCAGUACGGUACGUGCCCGCUCCCUGGCUCUGAUACCAUGUAGAAUUAUCAGAGAGACGGGUCAUACGGCCCACUUCCAACAACACCGAUAUUGUCCCCAACUUGGUAAUUACCACCUGCACAAUCCGUCAGGUGUGAGGUUUUAUCACAAAAGGCCUCGGUUAUAGUUGGAGUGGGAUUAUGAUAUUUAAACUCUUAUUUUUCCAUUGAUACGGUCGAUGUGGGACAUUUCAAUAAUUAUCAUAGAAAAUCUGCAACAGUACGAGAAAUUUGUAAUGGAUAUUUUAGGUAGAGCAUCUUCAAUCAUUAUUUUUUUUUAAUUUUAACAAAAAAAUACUAGAGAAUUAGUUUACAAAAUACUUUAAUAUUAACUAUAAAAGUAAAAGAAAUUAAAAGGGAGAAAAGGAGAAAAAAUGGGUUGUAAGGUCAUCUCCAACCGAAAAUGUUAAAUAUAACUCCAUCCAAAAUUAUAGUUUUGUAAAAAAUUAUUUUUAAAUGAAUAAUAUCAGGUUAUACUCAUAUACCAUCUCCAACCGAAAGAGCUAAACAUAGUCCCUCAAUAACUUAUUAGUUUUACGUUUAUGCUUUAAAUUUAUUGGUUAAUUUAAUUAAACUACAUUUGGAUGUUUCAAAUCUAGACGUUGAAUUUGAAUCAAAUGUUACAACUAAGGAGUUGGGCCCCAAAAACAGAGGCUAAGAGGAGGGCUACAUUCGGCUAGCCUGAUGCGUUUUUGGCCAAAUAAUGACUUUGUGGGAUGUAUAUAAUUAUAUAAUCAUGGUUGAAGAUGAGUUUUUGGACAAAUUAAGCUUUUUUUUUAGGGAACUUUAACGAAAAGCUCCCGGUACUGUUCACUUUAACGAAAAAUCACAUUUUUACACUAAAAAGUCAAUCCUGGUACUAUUCACUUUACCCUUUAUUUUGUUCUUAUCGUUAAAACUCAAAGUUUUCAAGUCAUUUUCAUUAGUUUUCCUUUUUUUUUUUACUUUUGAAUUUUUAGCCCUCUCCAUUGAAAAUGACCUAAGAAGCUAAAAGAAGAAUACUGCAUAUGUAACACAAAAACUAAACUCCUUGGAAUAGAGAAACCCCAUAUUACAAAAAAUAUAAAAAGAUCCAAUGAAAAAAGAUAAACCUAAUUUUUAACUAUCUUAAUAUGAUAGCACUUGAACGCCUUGCAUAGAGAGUAUAGUUGUAUUCAGUCAGUUCGAAGUAGAUCGGAAAGGAUUAGCAGGUACGGUUAGAUUGUCACCUCCUUCUAAAAUUUGAAUAACAACUUUCAUGGAAGGACGAUCUAUUGGGUGCCAUUGGACGCACCAUAGACCCACAAUGGCAAGUUUCUUUGCAUGUUCAGCAUCUCCUCCAUCCUCAAUGUGAAUCCGUAGGUCGUCCCCUUGUUCUAAAAGGUUAUAAAUCCAUUCUGGGAAAUAGACUUGACUGCUGGUGGAGUCCUCUUCCAUGAACUUAAAGUUUUUUGUUCCCCCAACCAUUUCCAGCAGCAACAUUCCAAAGCUAUAAACAUCUGACUUGUAGGAUACAUUUCCAAAGUUCCUAGAGAACACUUCGGGCGCAAUGUAGCCCAUGGUCCCCCUGAUGGUAGUCAUGGAUAUUGCGCUUUGAUCUCUAGAGCACAACUUGGCGAGGCCAAAAUCGGAAACUUUUGGGGUGAAAUUCUGGUCUAGCAAAAUGUUGUGGGGUUUUAUAUCGAAAUGGAGGAUUCGAUGGUCACACCCUUGGUGAAGAUAUUCAAUUCCUUUGGCUAUACCUAAAGCAAUCUCAUGCAACUUAUCCCAACCAAGGAAAGCGCUUUCACUAUCUGCUGAUGAUAAGAAAUUCUGUAGUGAACCAUUUGGUAGAUAUUCAUACACGAGCUGUUGUGUACCCAUCAGCACAAAAACCAACCAAGCGAACCACAUUGACAUGGUGGACUCGACCCAUUGUUCCGACUUCAUUUAUAAAAUCUUUUCCCUUUUCAUUAGAAUUGUUGAGGAUUUUCACAGCUACAAGUAAGUCGGAGGAAAGUCGUCCUUUAAACACUGUUCCAUAGGCUCCUUGACCUAACUUUUCAUUGAACUGAUUUGUUAUCCCUUUAAUAUCAGCGUAGGAAUAUCUACUGGGCUUGUGUGCUAUGUAAUCAUCCAAAAAUCUUUCAAUCCUCAACUGAUUUGUUUUCUCUGUUCUGUUGGAGCUAUAAACACGGUAAAUGAGGGUCCCCGCAACUGUUACAACCACAGAAAGUGAGAAAAUACCUGCAGAUACAGAUGAAACUCUGUGUUAAGAACCAACCCAUUUCUAAAUUAAAUUAAAAUAAAUCACAAUUGCCUCCAACUGAUAAAGCCCCCAGAAAUCAGAAUUGAUUGUAUAUUAAUACUUAUACAUAUAUAGGGUUCUUUUGUGCGGAAGUUAACGUGUAUUUUAUCCGGAUGCUGCCAUAAAAGAAGAACCCUGUCAAGGAUGGGAUCUAAAACUUGAAAAACAAAUGAUGAAAAUUGGUGCCUGUUGAAGCAAGUUCCGACUAGCACCCUAAAAUAUAACACUGGCAUGAGGUUCAAUAAUCCAAACCGUCUUGGAUUUAGUUCUCCAUCUAAGAUUUAUGAUUAUGGAUCACACAAGUGUGCAAAAAUUAACCUAACUAUUAGCAGUUCAAAUUCAAUCUUGUAAAAAUAGUGCUUAUGUGAACAACUUACCAGAUAUCUCUAAGUUUGUCCUUCCAUGGGUACUAUCUGUAAAAGCAGGUUAAUUAAGUCAAUAAUUAGCACUUUUGUUAUCAAAAGAAUAAAAUAGUUGAAGAAUUGUUUGCAUAAAUCUUUGUUUUCAUUUAAUAUAAAAAGUUCUCAUAUAUUCUUUGAGUCCAAAUUUGUUGUAUAUAUUAUCUGCACAAACUAGCUAAUUAAAACCUUGUCAAUGUGAAAAUGAGGGAAAUAUUUUCCGGUAAAGUACUGCAACAAGUCAAGUUAAAUGGGAGAUUAAAGGAUACCUUCGCUCACGCAUUCAGUUUCUGCAGUCUGAUUAUCUGUGAAAUUGUAUUGACCAACAGUUCUCUUCAGUCUGCAAGUCUUGCCCAUCUCUUCGCAACGUCCACAUGAUGGUUUGGACCACUGCAGCAUCAUAAGGUUGAAUGCUUCCACUAAUGAAAUUUGUGGAAUUGAUGUGUAGUCACGCAGCUUGGUACAAGACACUAGGUUCAUAUCAUCAAUGGAACAGUAGCCGUUGACAGCAUAGUAGUUAGUUUGGUUUUCAGGAUUGUCAAGGCCGCAAGGGCACAGUUUGAUUAGACAAAGUCUGCCUGUUUCAAGUAAUGGUGACGUACAACUGAAUAAAGUAUAAGUAGUAUCAAACGGUCCGUGCACAAAUUGAAAGGUCGAGGAAGAUAAGUUGAAUUUGAAAAUAUCUUUAGGCAGGCAAUCAUUUUGGAAAUAUACUCCGAUUUCUUGAGAUGCGUAGUCAAUCGUUUCAACGAUGAGCUUGUUAGAUGAGGACGGCAUCUCAAGCACGGUUCGGCCGUCGGUGGUGCAUGAUAGAUCAAAGCCAUGGUAACCGCACUGGAAUGGCUGUCCUUUAAGUCGAAAUGGGAAUCGGAUGGCUGGACCGUGGUGUUCACAGUAACUUACUUCUUUGCAGUUUUCAGGGACUACUCUGUCGCCAUACACUGUGCUUACAAAUCGAGCAUCUGCUAUCAUGAGAAACCAGCACAAGAAAUUGAUCAGAAGCAUUCUAUCCAAUGAGAAUAUUGAUUGUAGAAGUUCGGUAUCUUGGUAAUUCAUAUAUAUGAUUGUAUAUAAGAUAUGGGAUUGCAGAAGUCCCCUAUGUUUUGGGUAAAUAAUAAUCUCUUUUUAUAUUCACCCCUUCGUUCCAUUUCCUACCCCCAAAACGUUUUUCUAAUUUUUUUAAAUCUUCCACCAAUUUUGUUUUUAACUUCAAUUUGAAGGACUUGGUCGUGAUUUGCUUAUGGGUUAUUGACCAUCGUUAUCAAAUAAAAACUUCUAGUCGCUUUUAUGCAACUGUUACUCGCUAUAACGUGAAAUUGGAAUGCUAGAAACUGUUUCUUCCCCAGAUGGGCCAGAUCAACCCAUUAUUGUACCUAUUAUUCCGAUUUAGAUGAUGUGGGUUCUGUGUUCGUGUGGCUUCAAUAUUGGUCAUUCAACACUGAGUAAUGCUAAGUAGAUUAAAUUUGUAGACUAAAUUUACAAACUAAAUAAUAUGUCAUCAAUAAAAAAUAAGCACGUUAAUCAACACUUAAGUAAUAAUCCAAUUAUCAACGUUUAUGUCAUUGAGUUUAUAAAAUUUAUUCCACAAAUUUAGUCUCCUAGCAUUACCCUUCUAGAAAUUGGAGUUGUUGGUAUAGUUUGUUGUGCAAAUUUGUUCUCUUUACUUUAGCGGGAGAUUUUUUAGUGUGAUCGGAACACGGGAUUGUAUACCACGUGUCACUAUACAAAUGGUGAUAUAUAUGUGUGUUAAAAAGUUAAUAACUUAAAUAUUAAAAUUUUCUACCACUUAUAUAAAAACACGUGGUGUAUCACUCGUAUUCCGGUCACAAUAAAAAUUUUCUCUACUUUAGCCUUGGUUGUUGUUGUUGGAAUUAGUAUUGAUGAGACUUGUGUUUUGCAUACGUUUUUGCAAUAACUAUGGUUGUUAUGUUGAAAAAAUUGUUUAUUAAAGUGUUUUUUUUUUCAUUUAAUAAAAGAAAAAAAAAGGUAAGUGAUUUUUACACACAAUUUUUCUUCUCCUACAUGCACACGUAUAUGUAGAUUUUUGGCCUUUAAAAAUAAAAAUAAAAAAGUGCAGAAAAAGAAAAGAGAGUGGGUGGGAAAUAUAGGGACCUUCCUCCUAAUCCACCAAAUUAGGAAAUUUGUGCCAUUAAUUUGAUCAAUGAUUACAAAUAAGGGUCCAUUUUAAAAAUUAUAAUAAUUUCAACCGUUUGAUUAAAUUUCAAUGAUUUGAAUCAUUUGAUUUGAUGGAUUGGGAAAGGAUAAUAAUUGGGUACUCCAGGGAGUACCUAAUUUACUGACCAUCUUACGUGGCCCAAUAAAUAUAAAACACCUAGCAUUUUAACUCUCUUCUAAUAUUUUUCUAUCUCUGUAACCAAACACAUUUUGUACCCGAGACCAAACACCUCUCUUCUUCUCCAUCUUCUUUCCUUGCCCAGCUCAAUCCUUCUCCUUCUCCGGCAACCAUCUCCAUGCCUUCUUACUUCACUUUUAUUGAUACCAUGGCAGAUCCACCAAAGGUUCUCCGUCUGUUAUAGGUUGACUAAUAUUUUUUUUGUCGAAAUCACUUGCUGAUUGAUGUUGCGGAGAAGUCGGAGAAGAGUAUGGAGUUCAAAUUGACGGAGGAGGGAUGGAUAGAGUGGAGGUAUGCCGUUAUGGUCGACAGUUGGAAGAGUGGGGCUAACGGUUGGAGAAGGGAGCGGAGAUGGAGUCGACGAUUGGAGCAGGGUGAUUGGAGGAAAGAUGUUGGACGGCGGCGGUUCGAAGAAGAACAGUCACGGGAGAGGAGAGCGACAGAGGGAUGAGAGAAUUGGGAGUGAGAUGUUUGGUUGUCUGAUUCAGGAUGUUUGGUUACAGGAAUAGUCUACAUAUCAAAUUGUUUUAAAUUGACACAUGUUUAUAUCUUAUUGGGCCACUUAAGAGAGUGAGGAAGUAGGGUACUCUCCGGUGAGUACGCAAGUAUUUUCCAAAGAGAAAUCAUUUUUGUAAAACAAAAAAGCAGUUGACUAACCAGCACUAGAAGGGCAACUUCCUUGACUAUUUUAAUUAAAGAUUAAUGCUUAGUUUUACUCGUCUCCUGGGUUCUUUGCUUCGUUUGUCAUAAAUAAUGGGCUCCAAGCGACCAAUUUAUAUCUGAAUUCACCCCUUUCUUGCCAUAAGCCAAAAACCCUUGCUCCAUUAAGCUUUUUUGCCCCCUUCCAUAAUUUUGAUACAUUUAUAUUCUCUUUUGCCAUGUGUAGAGGAAGUCUCUUACUAGUUGCAUAUGGAGCCCUUCUUCUACUCUCUCUUCUUCCCUUUAUUUGUUCCCAAACAUCGAUACCUGAAAAAAAUUCUGAUUGUACUCUUUCUUGUGGCAAUAUUGACAUAAGCUCUCCAUUUCGGUUAAAAGGAGACCCUCAACACUGCGGCAACCGUACGUAUGAGCUAACUUGUGAGGAAAAUGUUACAGUCCUCUACUUGUAUAACCGAAAGUUUUACGCCAAGGCGAUCAAUUACAAUAACUUUACAAUCCGAGUUGUGGAUGCUUCUGUUCAAAAGAAAGAUAACUACUACUCCAUCCCACAUUACUCUUUUACCUCAUCCAGCUUUAGUUAUCGGGAUCCUUACAGCACUUCUCUAGUCCGACGACUGACGUGGAGUUCAAAUAUCCCGGACAUAAGUUAUAGUUACACGGCACGGCCUAUAUAAUUUUUAUGAACUGUCCAAAUCCAAUGCAUUCUCCUGGCCUUGUAGAAACAGCUCCAUGCGUCAAGGACGGCACCUGCUCUUCCAAUUCUUCUCUGUCCAAUGGUUUAAGAAUGUUUUCUUAUUCCAUCUUUGGCUGGAAUGGCUCCAUAAGUUCAUUGGAUUUGGGGGAGUCCUGUGAAAUAACGCAGAUGCUUAUGGUCUCACCUUCGUUGUCUGUAGAAGACAUGCAUGAGCACUUGACGUCCUGUGAAGGCAUAUAAAGUGAAAUAGCGCAUGGCUUCGAGCUUUCAUGGUUUCACCAGGCUUGUAGCACCUCAAACUGCAUAGAGGGGAAUUGUGUGCUCAAUAACGUGAGCAAAAUUAAGUGCUUUCGCUAUGAACCCAUAAAAUAUGAACCCAGAAAAGGUAGUGUCUAUUAUUCCUCUUAUUCACAAGGCUAGAGUAACCAAAUUAAUUCAGCAAAUAAUUAGUCUUCAAUUACUGGGAGUCUGUCUGUCUAUGGAGAGUUAGGUUUUACAACUCUAGAAUAAAUUAGGUCAUAUAAAUAUUGACGAGAUGAAUGGGAUGGGAGAUAAACUUUUAUUUCUAUUAAGUACGUAUUCGAGGCUAAAUUUAUUAAGGAAGGAUCGCUACCUUUCUUUUUGUACUUUCUCUUUUGACCUUUUUACUUUAUUUUUUAAGAUCUUACAUAUUACUUGAUAAUCAAAACUGUUUAUUUUGUAUACCACUAUAAACUAAUACUGCAAAAUACCCCAUUAAUCAGAAUUUAGAAUUCAUUUCACUGUUCGAUUAACGAUGUCAUGAUUUUUUGUUUAACUAAAGCACAUGGUUCACCUUUUAUUGAAUUCAUAUAUUGUUAUUUUUUCUAUAUUUAGAAAAUAGGCAGUUUGGAAUACCGAGUAAUAUUGUAAGAUCUUACAAAAAAAUGGAAGGUAAUAAGUGAAAGUGCAAACAGAAGGGUAGCUAGCAUUCUCCUAUGAUAUUAAUUUUCACCCUUUUUUUCUCUUAAUAGGAAAAAUAAUAUAUAUGAUCCUUAAUGAUAAUUCUUCUUCUUUUGCAAAGCAGAACAUUGGUACAUCAAGAUCUUACAGUCCAUACUAUUGGCACUAGGCGAGUGGUUUACUCUCUUAACGCAGCUUCUAUUUAAUACAUGUGCAGUUAGUUUCUUUAUUUGUGGUCACCUUGAUAUUUAUUAAAAAAUUACAUUUGGAAAGUAUGAUCGAUAUUCAUCGCUUUACUGCAGGAACGGUUUUACCAGAUGUAUUUGUCCAUCCGCUAUGGUCAGUUUAUCCCUUGGGACGAGUUGAGUGUGGAGCAAAAAAUAUUCACAAGGCGACACAUGGAUUUUUGGAUAAAAGAGGACAAAAAUACCCUUGAGGCAUACCAGGAUUCCUACACACGAGCAGCGGGCAAUCAUCCGUUAACCAAGUCAAAAAUGCCCAAAGAAGGUAACAAAUAAAAGUUAUUUUAUCCAUAUACUCCACAAGGUAACCAUUCCAAAUAUUCCAUUUAAAUUAGAUUAAUUGGUGAAUUAAUGGAUUUAUUUCCUAAUUAAUCCUUUAAAUCACCAAUUCAAUGACUCAUUAUGCCAAUUAAUCCCCCAUUACAUAACCCAUUACCCAAAAAUCCCAAAUGGCCGGCCACCCUUAUUGAUUUCAUCAUAUUCACCUAUUUUAAUUAGCUAGUUAAUUUGGCAAUAAUUUUAUUUGCUAAAUUAAUUAGUCAAUUAUUUUCAUAACUCCUAAAUUCAACCUAAAUCAAGAACCCUAUUCCUAUAAAUAGGCUCUCAUUCUCACCAAAAAUCUAGGUCAUGACUCUUGCUAAAAUUCUCCAAAGCUCUCAAACACUUUUCUCUCAAAAUUCUAACUUUGGCAUCAGAGGUUCUUCGGCCAAAGCCCUCCCCAUUCAUCGUGGGCGUGUGAGGCUCUUGGCCUUGACCUAAGGUGUUAAUUAUUUUGUAGGUGCAAUUUUGUCCAAGAUCAAGGAGGAAGAAAUUUGCAUCCACAAAUUGGUGCUUUCAUUGAGAGUUGAGAUCCAUACUCGUAGAAGACUCUCGCAUAAAAGGUUUUUUCUCUAUUUUCUAGUCCAUUUGAAUAUUUUUCAUACGUUCUUAUUGUUAGAAUUUUUUAUUUGCAAAGGUUCUUUGAUAAAACGUAUAAGAAAAAUAUAAUGGCUAGAAAUUUAGAAAAUUCCACAAGUGAAAAUUCUAAUACUUAAGAAAUGGGACCGCGACGAUCCACGAGGCUAAAUGUGGUCAUAGGCGGAGUGGUACCACCACUACGAGGUUCCAUCAUGGCCCAAGCAGUGCCAUCCAAGCUUGCACAGGUCCGAGCCCAAGCCUUGCAUUCGUAUGCAUCACACUCUGAGCAGCCUGCUCCCGACGAGCAGUCCACUCUCGUUGUCCAACCUGCUCCCGACGAGCAGCCCACUCUCGUGGCCCAGCCUGCUCCUGCCAAGCAGCCCACUCUCGCGGCCCAGCCUGCUCUCGUGGCCCAACCUGCUCUCGCAGCCCAGCCCACUCCCACCGAGCAGUCUACUCUCGUGGCCCAGCCUGCUCCCGAUGAGCAGCCCACUCCCGUGGUCCAGCCUGCUCCCGUCGAGUAGCCCACUCUCGCAGCCCAGCCUACUCUCAUGGCCGAGCCUGCUCCCACGGCCCAGUUUGCUCCCGUGGCUUUCCAAGCAGCCCAAGUCGGCCCAAGACUAUCUCAACUAUUCGGACCUACCAUCGAGCCAGAGGCAUUCUCACCAUAUUUUUUCUCGGAUUUGACAUUUUCCAACUCAAAUCUCGCGCCCGGAGUCUACCGCAUUUCCACUGCCAAAUGAGGCACAUUUCUUCCAAGUUUUUCCAACCCAAAUGGAGAACAACACUUGUCUCGACAAGUCAUAGAGUUGACGAGCGCCCUUGCAUAGCAGAUGAACUUGGUGAACCAGCUCUUGUAGCACACCGAGAUGCAAUGUGCCCCAGAUGAGGUGUCCCGAAGUAGGACAAGGGCAGACAAAGAACCUCUCCAGCAGCGCCCCGGUAAGCAGCCACUCGACCAGCCACUAACCGAGUGUUCAGGCAGUGUACACUCCCGAUUGGGCCCCCGAGAUAGCGUAUACUCUCGUCUUAGAGCACGGAGGAGCGUGCACUCUCGACUAGGCCCACAGAUAAGCAUACAUUCACGGUUGAGGUCACACUCCGAUAGUCAACAUGAGCAGCCUUCCAAGAGAAGUGUUCAUUCGCGGCUAAGCCCGCAAUGAGCAUCAUCCACCUCACAUCGGAGUAGACAACAUGACGGACAGAGAAAAACAGUCACUCAAUAUGGCUCAAGUUCAACCAGCAACCUGCGAAGAACUCGUUCGCCUGCUAGGAACGCGCUACAUGCACCGCAUAUGCGGCAUAGAUGAGCCAAACACAUGGAAGAACAGCCUAGACCAGUAAGUCAUAAUUGGGGGCAGCCGAGAGUUUCGCUACCCCAACAAAGGUAAAUUCAGGAAGAAGUAGAGAGACUUUUGACCAAGCGAUUGCGCAAUUUCCAACGUAAUGAGGUCACCGAUGAGGCACUACGACGGAACAUGACCAACAUAAGCAGGUCACCCUUCACGGACUAGAUCGAGUAAGCAGAGCCUCCACGCGAGUUCAGCAUGCUACAUUUCACAUCUUUCAAAGGGGAUGAAGACCCGGAUAAACACUUAAAGCACUACCGAAGCGCAAUGAUCCUUUAUCGAAACAACGAUGAUCUCAUGUGUAAGAUAUCCACCACCACUCUACAAGGCGAGGUGCAAGAUUGGUUCUACACCUUGCCGCCACAAUCCAUCUGGAAUUUCGACGAAUUUUCUUUGGUUUUCACCAAAGAAUAUUCAUCCUAUCGCUCGAUCAAAAAGAAGUUCAAACAUUUGUUCGACGUCAAGAAGAACCCAAAGGAGUCGCUUCGCGACUAUGUGAGGAGGUUCAAAGCAGAGAAGACAAAAAUAGUCGGAUGCAACGACUCGAUAGCUAGAGCAGCCUUCCAAAAAGGACUUCCAGCAGACCACCUAUUGUUCGAAAAACUGAUAAUGAAAGAAGAUCUAGCUCUGGCAGACUCUUUCGCUUUGGCAGAAAAGCAUGCACUUUGGGACGAAGUUCGCUGAUGCCCAUUUAAGGCAAAUCCAAGCGAUCUUGAAUAUGAAGUUCCCCACUACUUGGAAGGAGAUUCAAACUCUGACUGGACGAGUAGUCACAUCUGAAGCAGAAAUAAGCUCUACCAUUAUACGAGAAGAGCUGGGGGCCCGACUACCUGUAUUCCAUAGUUUAAAAGCUCUUAUUGAUGUUAUCAGAAAUUCAAAAACUAACUUUGGCGAUAGUUGUUGCAACCCGGAAGCUCAAGUUUUACUUUCAAACGCAUGCAGUCAUCCUCAUGACAUAUUAUUCCACCCAAUCUAGACUCGCGACGAUAAAGACGUAGACCCUGGAGGAUGCAAAGUUUUCUAACGAACGCAACAACUCGGCUCAAAAGACAUGCCCAGGGUAGACGAACACUGGAAGGGCACACUCGGAAGCAAGUUUUGUCCUCGUCACCCUAAAAGAUUCUACAUAGGAGUAACAUGUACCGGCAGUUGAGUACCAUCUCCUGCUGCGCACCACACGGCCCUAGCCGACCCUUGCUCAAUGAUUCAACUCUAGAGUGGCCCAAUACUGGCAGUUGAGCAUCUCAUGUUGCGUGUGACAUGGCCCCAUCUCCACAACUCCCUACUGCGCCUUCACGCCGAGCCUAGGUGACGCAACAGAGCGGCCCAACGAUGCCCCAGAAGUAGCUGAGCACACUCUAGCCACGCCUACUCCACCCGAUGGAGACUUCUGGCAUUUGUAUGUUGACGGCGCAUCCAACUACAAAGGCUCGUAAGCAGCCAUGGCCCUUAUCACCCCAGGCGGUUUGAUGCCCGAGCAGGCAAUCAUUCUAGGUUUCAAAGCAUCCAACAACGAAGCAGAGUACGAAGCCCUACUAGCAGGCCUUUGAAUGACAAAAGACUUGGCGGUGAAAAAGUUUUCAAUUCAUUCUGAUUCCUAGCUAAUCACCAGCUAGACUACUGGGGGCAAAGGCAUGAUGAUCGCGGCAACCGACUACUUCACCAAAUAGGUAGAAGCAAAGCCCAUGACGACCACGAUUCAAACGGACAUAGAGCGCUUCAUAUGGAGGAACAUCAUUUAUCAAUUUGGCUUCCUUAAUCUAUCGUCACCGACAACGGCCCGCAAUUCGUGGGCAAAGAUUUGGCGAAGUUCUUCCAAAAAUAUGGCAUCAAGCAGCACAUGUCUACGCCAAAAUAUUCUCAAGGCAAUAGGCGGGCCAAAGUAUCCACCAAGAUGAUCCUCGACUGCCACAAGAAAUCCCCCACCAAUAAGAAAAGAAAAUGGCCAGACGAACUCCCUGGAUGUCCAUGGGCAUAUCGCACCACCAAAAGACGAGCAACCGAAAGAAGAUGGCCACAAGCUUAAAUCUGGCAGAGGAGAAAUGCGAGCAGACUAUCACCCGCCUCGCAGCUUACCAACAGCAACUCCUCCCCAGCUACAACAAAAGGGCUAUGAUCCGGCAGUUUCAACCCAAAGAUCUAGUCCUAAGAAAAGCCUUCAUCACUGCCCACAGAGAAGGCUUCAAAAAGAUGAAUCACAUCUGGGAAGGUCCGUACAAGAUCAGCAGAGUAGGCGGCAAGAGUAAUUACACCAUCGCCACCAUAAAACGGCAAAAAGAUCGAAAAACAAUGGAUGGCCUACAAUCUGAAGAAGUACCAUGUGUGACUUCUCGCUACAUCAAAACCCGAAGACUCAAGAAGCUCGAUGGGCACCACCUCAAAAGCCAAGGACUAUCCAGUUGUUAUGCAGUUCCUACCUUACAGCUAAGUUCUCGUUUGUUUCACUUGUUUUUUCAAUGAGGAAUUCAGAAGAAAUCACAACUUGGCUCGGCUGCAUGCUUACAACAACUGAUCACUCCUGCAUUUCAGAAGAAAACUACGCCCUACUUAGGGACUCAUCGCAGGAAUUGCGCCCCCCCCCCGAGAGACCAACCAUGCUCUCCAGUGCGAGAGAGUAAACUAAUUGCUCUCCAGUGCGAGAGGGUAAACUAAUUCCCCGACACCCGUAUGGGUCAGCUCUCUAAGAAGAGAGGAUAAAUUUUACACUCCGAAUAUCCAGACGUGGAUGAGCCUGGCUGCUUUAGUAUAACUAGAUGCACGAUGGCUUGCGUCGGGAUUCCUAGAAGUAGCCACAAUGGUCUUUUUCAAGGCUUAGCUAACUGAAAGAUUUUGGGUCUCUUGGCCUAAUCCGUGGGGAACCGGGCCCUAGAGACGGAGGGGGCACAUUACGCAGUACGCCCUACAAACGGCUGCCCUAGAACCCUAAAGCUGCUACCGAGUGCACUAAGAUAGCCUACGAUUUCCGGAAGACUACCUACGGCUUGCCCUUCGAGCAGUAAAAUCGCGUUAGACUUAUACAACCGCACAUUCUUGUGAAAGGUUAAACAAGCUAGCGUGCAUAUACGAAGCUUUAUCCACUGCCGACAUGCUACGUAGUUGAUAAGCUUCACAUCUGCUAAGCACGAAACAACCUACACCAAGUCCUAAAAUGUUGUGAUAUUUGCUACGUAACCUACGGAAUUGGAGAAAGUCAAGGUUAGCAGCCUAGUGGUUACGUGGACUUGUCUGCUUCUGUAAGUAAGGCAUCCGGCUGCCAACCCUAUGGCUAACAACUUUGCAAAGUUCUACACCAACACCUACGACUGCAUAGGCUACGCGAGCUUGUCUACUUAUAAAAAAAGUAGCAUGCCUGCCACUAGUCUAUCAAGUCUAAAGGUUAGGGCAUGAACAAAAGAAUUAAAGAUGAAGAAAAGCGAAGGAAAACAUGUUUAUAAACAAUUAGCAAAGGCCAAAGGAGUUCAAGCAAAACAAGAGCUACAAGGAAAAACAAAGAAAAUCCUAAAGGCUACCUAAAAUACUACACUACAGCAGCUUGGACAUCCCACGACUACUCGGUCGCCACACCUUCAGCAGCCAUAACGCUCUUAGCAACGGCAUCAUCCGGCGCUUCACCCCAGGCUGCCCAAGCCUGGGCACUAACGUCUCCAACUACUUCACCAAUAGAAGCCUCAAAAGUAAAAGCAAGCAAGUCUUCCAGAGAAAUAGAGAAACCUCAAGUCUAUCCUUCUCACCCUUCAGCUGCUCAUUCUUCUCAAGCAGACUAACACGGAUGCGCUGCAGCUCAUCCACUCCAUUCAAAGCAACAAGCUCAUAAUCCAACCUCUUGAUCUCCUCGGCUGAGGAAUAAGCUUCAGCUGCCAUAAUCUUUGCCACCUCCUUGACAGCCUUGCUAUAUAUGCAUCAUAACAAGCAGAGCAAUCCUUCUAUAUUAGGUCGUAUGUUUCGCAAAGGAACUUGGGCAAACAACCUCUCUACCGCCAUCAACAAACUUGGCACAAGCGUCCAUGUCUUCAAGCAGAUCUAGUUUCAAAAGCACAAUGAUCUCAGCAGCCUCCCCAGAAGCAGGCUUAGUGGAUUUCUCACAGCUGCCCACACAAGCAGUAUAUUCCUUCCUAACAGGCGAAUCAGUCUCAGCAGCAAAGGGAGUGGGCAUUGGUGCCACUUUAGCAGCAGAGUCCACCUUACCACUCUUCAAUAGCAAGUCUCUCCAAAGGUGAACCAGACUUGGCUCAAAACGAAUGUCUUGGUAUAGACUUCGGCACUAGGGGCAUGAUAAAACCUUUACGCUGAGCAAUCUUAUCAACAAUUGUACUAGCCAUUUUCAACAUGGAAGGCACCACAUGAUCAGAUCUAGCAGCCUCAUUUUUCUUCCCAUUAGAAGAAGUCAUGCCAAUCACAGACCUCUCGACAGCAGACAGAUCAUCAUGAGCAGCAGUGGAGAAAGUCUUCAAUUUUUCUCAAUCGGUAUCUCUUGAGUAGGCGGGGAAGAUCUCUUCUUUCCAUCUUCAUUCAUAGUAGACUCCACGACAGCGAUUAGACGAGCCAAUGCAUCCGCCUUGAUCCUCUUGAUCCUCUUUACCUCCUCUUUCGGGAGCAGCCCACCUUUCCCUUGGCAAAAAGAACUAAGCAGCCAACACCAUUCACGGUACUCAGCAAAAGAGCUCAACCCAGCAUUCUAGCAGGCACGAAGCCUGCAUACCCAGCAUUCCAGCAACUUAUGAAGCCCAUGACAUCCUCAUUUCUUUUAGUCGCCAGCCUGGCCCGAGUAAGGUCCAAAAGCCCAAAAGACAUGAGCCAUGUGGCUUGCCUAGCAUUGCGCCCCAACGCCAUAAUUCGCGGCCCCAGCCGCACAAGCUGCCAUUGGCUCUAACCAAGCCAAACAGCCCAAGCAGUAGCCCCUGCCAUAAUGCCUCAUCGGUUGAUGCCGAGCCGACUCCUGGCCCUUGCCAGCCGACGUGUCGUACCACCCCGACGGCUGCCCUGCAAUAGAACUAUCCAAGAAGAAGACAAGAAAAAAAAAUUUAAUUUUUCUUACAUUGGUGUGGCACGGAGAAGAUGAAGAAAUCAACAAAAAACGGUCUUUUGCACGGGCAAGAUGUAGAAGAUUGCUAGAGGAGGGGAAACAAAUAUCCUCUAAGCUCUCUCUCUCUUGUAGGGUAUAAUAAAUCGCUCUCCAAAGUUAAUUUAAUAACCCACUUAAGGUGGACUUAAAUAGGCUUUAAGAGAAAUUUAUUUCCCUUUCCUAGAAGGAUCUAAUUUCCUAUUAAAGAGAGAAUCUACAUCAAAAUAGGAAGCAGUCCUACGUUUCCUAAAGCAAGAUGAUCUCUACACCUGCUGCUCUUUUCUGUGAGCAGCCCAACAGGUGUGGGGGCAUUUGUGGAGCCAAAAAUAUUCACAAGGCGACACGUGGAUUUUUGGAUAAAAGAGGACAAGAAUACGCUUGAGGCAUACCGGGAUUCCUACGCACGAGCAGCGGGCAAUCAUCCGUUAACCAAGUCAAAAAUGCCCAAAGAAGGUAACAAAUAAAAGUUAUUUCAUCCAUAUACUCCACACAAGGUAACCAUUCCAAACAUUCCAUUUAAAUUAGAUUAAUUGGUGAAUUAAUGGAUUUAUUUCCUAAUUAAUCCUUUAAAUCACCAAUUAAAUGACCCAUUAUGCCAAUUAAUCCCCCAUUACAUAACCCAUUACCCAAAAAUCCCAAAUGGCCGGCCACCCUUAUUGAUUUCAUCAUAUUCACCUAUUUUAAUUAGCUAGUUAAUUUGGCAAUAAUUUUAUUUGCUAAAUUAAUUAGUCAAUUAUUCCCAUAACUCCUAAAUUCAACCUAAAUCAAGAACCCUAUUCCUAUAAAUAGGCUCUCAUUCUCACCAAAAACCUAGGUCCUGACUCUUGCUAAAAUUCUCCAAAGCUCUCAAACACUUUUCUCUCAAAAUUCUAACUUUGGCAUCGAGGUUCUUCGGCCAAAGCCCUCCCCAUUCAUCGUGGGCGCGUGAGUCUCUUGGCCUUAACCUAAGGCGUUAAUUGUUUUGUAGGUGCAAUUUUGUCCAAGAUCAAGGAGGAAAAAAUUUGCAUCCACAUUGAGGUCUAACACCGUUUACGGGUGUCUGAUAACUGUGCCCUCUCUCCUAGGUAGUGUAUUUGUCCAUCACUUUGCUGCAGAAACGGCUUCGUACCAGAUGUAUUUGUCCAUCCGCUAUGGUCGGUUUAUCCCUAGGGACGAGUUGAGGUCUAACCCCCUUUACGGGUGUCUGAUAACUGUGUACUCUUUCCUAGGUACUGUGAACUACUCGUACUCAGCUAUAAUGCAACUUUUUCUAGCUUCAGAUACUCAUCAUUCAAAAAUGAAUGUUUGAUGAUCACUUUGUUUUUGUUUUCAUUCUUAUUAUUAUGUUUUAGUUAAAGGUUGCAGGGGAAUAUGGAAGAAUAUAUAUGAGAAAGAUGUGAAAAGGACAAGGAGGAUCGAGGUGGAUAGAGAAAUUGUUAUUGUCUUUGAAACAAAAAGUGUUUUCCUUUAAUUUUUUGUUUCAUAAAUUCUCCAUUUCUCCAUCAUCCCCCUCCCCAUCCCCAUAUCUUCUUUCUACAAUUUCCCCUCGCCUUUUUUCUCUCUCUUUUUAGAUUAAAAAAUAAAACAAAAGGAUUACCAAAUUGUUGCUUAAUUAAUGAAAAAUAUCGUUGCACUAAAGGAACAAGUUUGAUGAUAUUACAGCAAUCAAUCUAUUUGGUGACUCCAAUGUUUUUGAAGUUGAAUAUCAGAGUGCACAACGAACAAGACUAACAAGAAUAAUAAGAAUAUUAUUAAACAAACUGAGAAUGCCGGAACGGCUGUAAAACCCUAAGAGACUACAUUGUGAAUAACUUAUUUUCAAACUAAAUUACAAGCUCUAUUUAUAGAGCAAUAAACCUAAGAAACCCUAAUGCUUAAAUGCCAAAAAUACCCUACUACAAAAUCAAAUCAAAUCUUAAUUAAUUUCCUAAAUAAACCUAAUAAAUUCCAACACCCCCCGUCAAACUCAUGGCGGUACACGACAUGAGUUUGCCAACAAGCAGAUGUGGAUGCAAGCCUCCAAAUUCCAAUGCCGAUGCCGAUGCCGAUUUCCGAUGCCAAUUUCAAUACGAAAUUCCAUCAGUGCAAGUGCAAGAUUCCAAUGCCAGUGCAAGAUUCCAAUGCCAGUACCAGUGCAAAUGUCGAUGCCGAUGCCUAACAAACAAACAAAAAAUCCAACCAAAUAUUCAACAUCACCAGCCUCCUUCUGUUCGAUUCCUUCCUUUUUUUUUUACCUUCUGUGCGAACCAACGUGCGACCCAACAUCACCAACCUCCUUCCUUUUUUUCCUUCUGUGCGAUUCCUUCCUUUUUUUUGUACCUUCUGUGCGAACCAACGUGCGACCCAACAUCACCAACCUCCUUCCUUUUUUUCUUCUGUGCGAACCAACAUCACCAGCCUCCUUUUUUUUUUUUUCGCGAGGGUACAGUUGUGGACGGAUCCAGAUGCAGGGUGGGGUUGGGGAAUGCAGAAAUCCUAGUGCGAUGGAUUCACCAAAUUCCUUUUUUUCAAAAAACAGAAUUUUUUUUCCCUUUCUUGAAGACUACCAAGGACAAACUGAAAACCAAACCAGAAAACGUAAAAAAUCUAUGAACAAGAAUAACACAAUUUGACGGUCAAUACCGAAAUCCAAAGACAAAGAACAUAAACAGAAAUCCAAAGACAAAACGAACAAAAAACAGAGUGACCAAGAACAAAGGACACAGACCAAAGCGGAAGCGAAAGCCUAAACGAGACCCAAACUAAACCAAAAAACAAAAAGCGACAAAACAAAUUGAUACCAACAAGAACGGAUUGAACCAUAAGGAUCAAACCCGUUCUGAUACCAAGUUGAAUAUCAGAGUGCACAACGAACAAGACUAACAAGAAUAAUAAGAAUAUUAUUAAACAAACUGAGAAUGCCGGAACGGCUGUAAAACCCUAAGAGACUACAUUGUGAAUAACUUAUUUUCAAACUAAAUUACAAGCUCUAUUUAUAGAGCAAUAAACCUAAGAAACCCUAAUGCUUAAAUGCCAAAAAUACCCUACUACAAAAUCAAAUCAAAUCUUAAUUAAUUUCCUAAAUAAACCUAAUAAAUUCCAACAUUUGAAACGUGCAAGACUAUUCCAAGUAGUCAAAUUUUUAUUUGGCUUUCCCUGUGUAAUUGCAUUAAUAAUAUACAAAUGCAAAAGGAGGCACUUGUCCAUGUAUGAAAAUAUAGAAGACUUUCUGCAGAAUAAUCAGCUCAUGCCAGUAAGGUACUCUUACUCGGACAUAAGAAAGAUGGCCAGAGGUUUUAAGGACCAGUUAGGGGAAGGUGGCUAUGGUUCUGUGUACAAGGCAAAGCUUCGCAGUGGUUGUCUUGUAGCCAUCAAGAUGUUGGGUAAGUCGAAAUCUAACGGGCAGGAUUUUAUCAAUGAAGUUGCUACCAUUGGAAGGAUUCACCAUGUUAACGUGGUGCAACUUAUUGGUUUUUGUGUCGAGGGUUCAAAGCGUGCUCUUGUAUAUGACUUCAUGCCUAAUGGGUCUCUUGAUAAGCACAUAUUUUCUCAACAAGGAGUUAUCUUCUUAAGUUCCGAGAAAAUGUUUAAAAUCUCACUUGGAGUGGUUCGUGGUAUUGAAUAUUUGCUUCGAGGAUGUGACAUGCAAAUUUUUCACUUCAACAUCAAGCCUCACAACAUUCUUCUCGGCGAGAACUUUCUUCCGAAGGUUUCUGAUUUUGGGUUAGCAAGGCUAUGCCCAUUAGAUAAUAGCAUUGUGUCUUUGACUGCAACGAGAGGAAUCAUCGGAUACAUAGCUCCAGAGUUAUUCUACAAAAAUAUUGGAGGUGUUUCGUACAAAGCUGAUAUCUAUAGUUUUGGGAUGCUACUUAUGCAAAUGGCUAGAAAAAGAAAGAACUUAAACGCAAAUAUAGAAUGCUCGAGCCAAAUAUACUUUCCGACAUGGGUUUCUAACCAGCUGAGGGGAGGAAAUCCGAGAUGCUACAGAGGAGGAAAAGAAAAUCAUUAAGAAGAUGAUUAUUGUGGUGUUGUGGUGCAUACAAAUGAAGCCUAGCGACCGUCCUUCUAUGAAUAAGGUUGUAGAGAUGCUUGAAGGAGAAAUCGAGAGCCUUCAAAUGCCUCCAAAGCCUUUCUUAUACCCACAACAAAUGCCAAAGGUAGUUACUGGCAGCAGUUCAAGUACCGCAUCAGCUGCAUCGAGGACAACGACAACAUCUACAAAAAUUGUUUUGAUUGCAGAUGAAAAUUCACACAGUUAAUAUAGCUAGUAGCAAUGUUGAUGUGCAAAGGAACAUUUAGUGUACCCAAAAGCACAAAUAGACCGACACGCCCCGACCCUGAUAUUCUCCGAAUACCAGGACUGACACGUGCUGGCCGACACCCGGGGGUGACGAAAGCCAUUAAUUGAGACAAAAGCUAAGAAUAAGAAAUAAAUAAGGGUUAUGAAUUUAAAAUACCAUGAAUUAAUAAAUUAGGAACGUGUUCAGAGCAUACAACUAAACCUAGUCACUAACAAAAAUUAAGAUAAGAUUGAAUGAACAAAAGAGUGGGUCCUACCCCGAGAUGACUCGACGAUGCUGCUGCGGAAGUGUCUUGACGCCGGGAUUAGGUGCCUUGAUUCUAAGUCCUGAAUGGGGGCGCAAAACAAAGAUGAGUGGACCAAGUUUAUAUAUAUAUAAUAAUAAUAAAACAGUUCUCAAGUUACUAACCCCCACAGUUUAUAUAAUGAAAACUACUAGCAUAAUAAGUGAUGGAUUUAAUAAAAAUCCUAGCAUGCCAAAAAUAUCUCAAAAGCCAUAUAUCGCGGAAAAGCAUAGCGGAAAUCGAAACAUCAAACGUCUCAUAAAUCGUCUCGUAAACGCGGUGUGCUGCUAGUAGCUUGCCGUUGAAUAAAUAUAACUCCUGGCCAAUGCCUGCCAAAUAGCUCAACUCUCUCUCCAACUCACUAGUCUCUCCCUGCCCGCCAAUUAUUUCUUCCAGCCAUGAUAAUACCAGGCCGGCAUCUUACUAAAUAGGCCUCUCCAAUCGGUCCAAUGCCUCUCUACCAAUCCUAUUGUAAAGGAAUUAUUUUUCCCAGCCUAAAAUGUUCAGGCUAGUCUUAACACCUCUCAUAAAUAAACAAGCAUAGAUACCGAUCAAUCGUCUACACUAUAAAGAGGGGAAUUUCUCUAAAUAAGAGAUAGUUAUGGUUUUUAUAAAAUAUACCAUAUUAUGCAAUAAAACAAUUUUAAUUCCUCACCAAAUUCAUAGCUUCAAUAAAUUCAUUUUUCAGUUCAAUAAUUUAAUCAUAAUCAUAAAAUCAUAUGCUAAUUUCAAUUAAAUUAUAAAAUCAUGUAAUUUUAGAAGGGGUCCACUCACAAAUAUUCCUUAGCAGAAGAUUCGCGCGGAUAAGGAUAUAGAAUUUCUCCACUAGCAAUUUUACCUAAGAACAAGAAUGCACUAAUUAAAUAAAAGGAUUUUCUAAAAGAUUGGGUUGAACUAAAUAAAAUAAGGGAAUUGGGUUUGGAUGGGUUUACGUUUUAAUGGGUUUUAGGAACCUAGGGCUUUUUGGGUUAAAAGGGUAUUAGGGUGAGAAAAUUGGGGUUUGGGCUUUAGCCCAAACACAUACACACACUACAAUUACACACACACACACGAGCACAAAGGCCUUAAAGCCUUAUAAAAAAAACAGGGCUUUAAGCCCUUGGUUUAAACCGGCCCAAGGCCAUUUUAAAAUAAGGCCCGAAGCCUUUAGGGGUUUUAAAUACAAAAUGAACAAAAUUUAAAAACUAAAGGGGGCUGGGGGUUUUGGGCUAAGACAACACGGGCCUAAGGCCCGAGGGUAUUUAAAACGGCCUGAAAGGCCUAGGUUUGCGGAAGAAGAAAGCCCGAGCUGCUACAGCUCCGGUCACCUGAAAACGAGGGUUCUAGACCCCGAUCUAAGUACGAAAAUGAAGAGCAAGAUGAGGGGAAAAGAUUUAUACCUUCCAAAAACCGUAACUCGAUCGGAGAUGACUGGAAAAAGCUCCCAAAGUCCACGGUUCGCCGAAAAAUGGGUGUGCUCACCCACAAUGAUUUCCGAAGCAAAAUCUACGUAAAAAUGGAAGGUUCAAGCUUCUAAAUCACAACCAAACAUCAAGGUAACAACGAGAAUGAGAGAUUUGUGAUUUACCUCAACGAAAAGAAAGAAAAUGCUCACCGGAGCUUUGCUCCGUGUUGUUGAACUCGCAGGGCAGGGUCUCUGGGCUCGUGGUGAGCCUCUCCUGAUGGUGACUCGGUUCUAGUGAGUCCAGGGGGAGAGAGAGAUGCAAGGUCGAGGGAGAGAGAGAUACACGGGAGAGCUGAGAGAGCUGAGAGAGUGUAAGGGAGACAGAACUGCGAGAGAGAGAGAUGCGGGAGAGGUGAGGGAGAAGAGAGAACUGAGAGAGGAGAGUGGGAAACCGGAAAACACAAAAAAUAAAACAAGGUGGGCCCCACAGGCUCACCAAUUAAGGACUAAAACCAUUUUUUAAAUAUAAAAGAGGGUUGGGGUGUUUCAUAGACUACCUGAAUUUAAUGGCAUUGAUUGCUUUCUGGUUUUCAGUUUUUAGCUUUGGCACGUACAAGGAUUAAUUUAUGCACAAAUCGUCUCUCGAUUAGUAUGGAAAAGCUUUGGAUAUAUAAUUUGUGUAUGAGCAAAGUUCGAUAUCUAUAACUUAUGUUGAAGAAUGCAAUCCUACAUAAGAAACUAAACAAAUUACACAGCUUAUAUCGAAUGGUUCCACUUCCAAUUGCAUAUGAGAAGCUUUAAGAGGAGGAGAAGGUACCUGAUCAAGGCGUGGCUAUCUUUGAUUAUUAUCUCAGGAUGUGCAUUUGAAUUCAAAUUAACUUAGCAAGGUAGAAUUAAUAUUUAUUCAUAAAAAGACUAAAGCAGAUCGCCUUACAUAUGCGACCCAAUUAAUAUUUAUUGCAAUCAAUAGGCUUAAAAAAGAGUCUCUUUCGUUUGUGCCAUGUUGCCAAAGACCGCGAUUUCUCAACGAAUGGGUCUGAAAGCAAAGCAAACAACAUCCAUUGACGCUCUUAUAAGAAAGUGUUGAAAGCUUGUAACUUCACAUCUGCACCAGUGAAAUGCGCAGUGAUUAUCGGAGCUUUGAUAGUCGAUUUGGUCUUGUAGCAGAGGCAUAGGAAGCGUUGAGGGGUCAGUCAGACGUCUUAAUCUUAUGGACUUGCUCACUGUCAAUUCCAGCUUAUUGUACAAGUCCUCCGGCAACAAUGUCAGGGUAGUACCUGAAUCAACGAUAAUAUUGCCCUUUGCUGGAGCUAAUGAAGGGUUCAGUGAACUGCCCGACACUCAUUGCUUCAAGCCCUAGAUAAUAUAAAUAUUGGAGUGUGCUAUCCACACAUCUCUUUUUACUUUUCACACACCCCUUGUUAAUUCCUGUCCGUUGAUCUUCUUUAAUUCAUCCGAUCUGACAGCCGAAAACCAAAAAGGUAUGGGAGAAGUAAAAAAAGGUGUGUGGAUAUCACACCCCUAAAUAUUUUGAGCCUCCAGAAGAAAGUAAUGGGGUAGAAAACGCUGUGGCGCCAGAAACCACAGCUUCAUUGCCGUAGCUCAUUGUGCUUGAUGAGUUGAAUCCUGAAAAGGCAUGCACAAGGCAGUAGGAAAAUUUCCCGUCGAUUGAAGAACUCAUCUGCGAGAUGGGGGACACAGGUCCACGUCCCAACCGUGCCUGAUCCAUUUCUGUUAAAGAGGCCUCCAUUGUCUUGUCCACAACCAAAUAUCAUUUGUGGGAAUGAAACUGGUUGCCCAGCAGUGGAGUUAAAUGUGACACUUUCUGUGGGUCUAAAACUUCCUUGCUGUAGGAUCUGCCUCCGUAAGAAACUGUGUAAUUACAAACUUCAGCUGUGUCAGGAGGAGAAGAAGUUCCGGUCACAAAUUUGCAUUGGCUUGAGUUCCGAGGAACUUGUGUGUAAGUUUUAGAAUUCUUUGGAUCGAAAGUUGGCGCUUUCUGCUUGUAACAAUUGAUGCAGGGUAUGCAUUGCGUCCAUGUAAGAUCACUACCUGUAUCUGCAGCGCCUAAGAUUUCAAGAGGAGGUGUACCUACUGAUAUUUUCAUGAGAUAUUCACCCGUGUCUGAGACUAUUGUAGAUCUAGGCAAGUUUGAAGGUGAUGAAGUUGGGUUCAAGCGAUUGACAAGGUUAAUGGAACACCGCAAAGCAUAGUCACACGUUGCAAAGGCGUUAAUUCUAAAGGAUCAUAGAGAGGAGAGACUGGAGAGUCGCAGUGAAUAAGUUGUAUGCUGAAGCUGCCAUUGCGAUCAGCUUGAAUAAGAGAGAACUGGGAGAAAUAUGGAGCAGAUAAUGUGAGUGCUAUUACGGAGGAGAAAGAAGGGAUAGCACAGUGGCUCCCAUGGUUCUCCGAGAAGCUUGUACGAAGUUAAGAUAUCAAAUUACAGUAUCAGUGAUGUCUUCGAUUUGAGGUGCUUCUGUGUGACUGUCCAGAAUCCAGAUCCUAACUCCAUGAGCAGUGAAAAGUGCAACCCUUAUUCAAAGUCUAAUUUAUUGUUUUUGCUAUAAUAUUCAAUGCCUUAGUUUAGAUAACGUGGCAAGGGACUUGUAGCUGGAUUAAGCAUUGCAUCCAAGGUUGUGUGUUCAAUUCCCUUCCCUUGAUAUCGCUUGUAAAAAAUGACAUAGUUUUUAGACACAAAAGAAGUGAAACAUGUGUCGAAAGAAACUUGAGCUACCACACUCCUCACUGCCUCAUUAUGAAAAGAAGAGGGAUUUUAGACACAAGUGAAUAGGGCAAACUAGACUAGAAAUGCAGGGCACAGUGCAAAAUUAUAUACCCUUGCAUCUUUUAGUAAAGAAAUUUGGCUAAAAUUAACAACGAACAUAAACCGCAGGGGCCGAAUUUCACCUUUGUAAACUACAUGUAGCAUUUAUACUUUUGGCCUAAUAUAACCAAAGAAACCACCUUCAGGCUUGAAGGUAUUGCAAAUGAGGCAGGAGGUCAAAACCUCUAAGCCCCCAAGAUAAGCUGAUCCACUAAGAAUUCCUAUAAAUCGUAUUACCCCCAAAACCGCUCAAUUGGCCUCCUUCCAUUUAAGCUAAUUUAAUCUACAGUAGUUUGUAUAUAACCUAAAGAGAAAAUUUCACGAGCUCAAACUAAAUUGCCUCCAUGCUUUCAAACACUAUCACGAAAAAACAGGCAACAAUUAGAGCUCCCAUUUGCUAUACCUCUGUAAUCUUAAGGAUCUUCGGAUUCUUCAUCCUUAUCUUCUGCAUUGCCCCGCCACCUAACUGGCCCAGACCAUCAUAAUCAAUUGUUCCCUACAAAAUACAAAACUUUGCUUGGAGGAUCAUAGAAUUCAUCGCAAUCAACUUGCCUAAAGACACCCCAAGUUAAUUUGAACAAAGAUUUAGAGCACUGUGACGAUAAAAAUUAGAGUUACUCUUUACGAAGGAAUUAGCACGUGUUUUAACAAAAGUAAGUUUCACAAAGCAGCAUUUUUGCAAUUGUUAAUUGCCUUUGGAAAAUUGAAAAGUAAGUCAUAUGAUAAAGUUCAGAGCAUAAACUUACAGUAACCACCAUAGGAGCAAAUGGUUUCGCAUCUUCUGGCUGUUCAACUGGAAUUGGUGGAUAGUUCACACUUUGAACUAGGAAUCUUGACUGCCAUUCAGAACUAAAAGUUUGCAUGCACGUAGACACCAGAAAGUUGAGUAGCUAUGGAUAAAUUAAACCGUAAAGAUAUGAACCUCAUCUGUCCACUCAAGAGCAAGAUCAUCUGCAUCAGGACACUUCCCUAUCCAAAUGACGAUGUUCCUGUAUUCCACAGUAUACCAAAACCACAUAUUCAACAGUAAUUCAAACAAUGAACAUAUGAACAAGAAUCCAUCAAGGAAGACAUGGAAGGGGCGGUCCUCAGGUUCAGAGAUGGAUGGAGAUGGCAAAAGAUGUACUGGUACAUAAAUGUCAUAAAAAAAUCCAAGGGACACUGCCAGUUAAAGAUUGAAAAUCAGACCAUGGACUUGGAGUAGGAGUUUGUCAAUGCAUUGCUGCACAAGGUGCAUGUGUAGUGAUAAUUACUUGCACCAAAGACAACCUAAGAAGUAAUGAAACCCAAGAAUAGAUCAGUAGAUAUAAACAUAAGAUCAUUAGAUCACAACUUUUAGUAGUAGCUAAUUAAAAUGAAGAGUGCAAUGAGAAUUAACAGAAAAUCCCACCUUCAGCUGCUAAGAGCAAACUAGAAUUCAUCAUCAGGCACAAAUCCCCUUUGAAGCAUUUCAUCAUGGAACCGAAAUGCCUCCUUCAAAUUAUCCUUGGUCACAUGUCCAUUUAUCAUUGACGUAUAAGUGGAUCUAUCAGGUUUUACACCUUUCUCAAUCAUCUUCCGCAAUACUAGCUCAACUUCGUGCAUUCUACCUUGCCAACAGAACCCAUUUAGAAAUAUUGUAUGUAAACUGAUCCGAUAAUAUCCCUUGCUUUUCCAUCUCCUUAACUGAGGAAAAAGCUUUGUCCAGAUUCUCUUCUUUUACAUAACCAUUAAUCAAAGUGUAGUCAGUAAUACUGUCGGGAAGAAUUCCUCUUGAAAUCAUUUUGACUAUAAGAACUCAUCCGCCUUUGUUGUGUCACCAGAGCGGCAAUAACCUUUAAUGACAGCGUUACAUGUAACUAGAGUGGGGUUUGAUACCUUCUUCAAUCAUCUGGUCCCAUAAACUCAACGCCUCAUGCACGUUCCCCAUGCUACAAAAUCCAUUAAUUAGAAUGCCAUAUGAAAUGUGGUUGGGUAGUAUCCUUCUUGAAACCAUGUCACCCCAUAACUCCUUAGCUUUAUCCAUUCCACCUAGUUUGCAGAAGCCAUCAAACAAUGUGUUGUAUGUGACUAUAUCAGGCUUAAUAUUUCUUUUUGUCAUUGCAUCAAACAGAUUGAGAGAUUUGGUCAUAUUCCCAUGCUUGCAAUAACCAUGAAUGAGUGUUGUGAAAGUAUAAAAACCAGGAAUGACACCCCUUUCCACCAUUUCAUUGAAAAAACUCAUCUGCGUCAGAAAGCAUCUUCUCCCAACACAGUCCAUUUAAAAUUGUAUUGAACGUUACCACAUCAAUAGCACAACCUUGCUCAAGCAUUUCAUCAUGCAACUUCAAAACCUCUAACACCAUUCCCUUUCUACAAUAUCCAUCUAUAAGGAUAGUGUAGAUCACAUUAUCCGGAACCAAGCCUGCCCCUUUCAUAUCUCAAAAAUAUACUAAUGCACGAUCAAUAUUUUUAUUCCUCGAAAAAAACCCAAUAAGUGAACUGAAACUAACUAUAUCAGGAACAACACCUAUGUGACAUUUCAUGGAAGAUUUCCUCAGCCUCUAAAAUAUCAUCUUUUCUACAGCUCUCAACAAGCAUUGGAUUAUACAUAGUAGUAUCAGGAUUCAACCACCUUGCAACAUUUCAUACAAAAGUUCCUUUGCUCUCACAUAAUUUCCUACUUUACAUAAGCCAUUUAUGAUAGCAUUGUACGUGAAAAGCUCAGGUUUCAACCCCUUAGAAGACAUAGAGUUUUUUAACUGAAAAGCUUCUUCAGGAAGCCCUUCACGACAAUAUGCAUUGAUUAGUGUAUUAUAUGUCACAAUAUCUGAAAACAACCCCUUCUCUUCCCUAUCUGAUAAGAAGAAUUUAACGCUAUCAAUUUUGCGAGCUUUGCAUAAGGCAUUGACCAUUAUAUUCGGUGUAUAAACAUUUAACUGAAUCCCACUGCUAACAACUUCCCCAUAUACGACCCAUGCCAAAUCAAUCCACCCGACCUUCACAAGCCCGCCAAGAGGACUAUUGCAAGCAUUUAUCAAAACACAAACUCCCUUGCUUCUAAACAGCUGAAACGCCUCAAAUCCUUCUCUCAACUUCUUAGCCUGCACAUAAGUUCUAACAAACAUAUCAAAGACCAAAGAACUUGAGCCGCAACUGCUAUAAGUUGAAACCAAAGAGUCUGCUACUUCAACACACGAAAUGCCACUCUUUCUAACCAUUCUAAGAAUCAGAGCUUGUGCAUCCGACGCUGUUCGACCACGCACCAACAUGUGAAUCAUUGCACUCAAAGACAGUGAUGAAUGCUUAAAAUCAGGACUAUUUAACAGAAUCAAAUCAAUAAACUUCAGACCCAGUUGCAAAUUUUCACGGCAGCAAGAAAGAACAACAACAAUAAGAGACGGGUUUAACCGAAACAGAAAGCUGCGCAAAGAGGUGAGGUUACCUUGCUUCAGACCUAAUAAAAUCUUUUCCACCAAAAGAGAAUCUGAUAAAGAAGCUGAUGGCUUGUACUACUACAGGGUUCUUGUGAUUGCAUACUUUUAAGACCAAGUUCCAGGUCAUUUGAUGGACAAUAUGCUAAACAAUGAGGUCUAUGAGAGUGAAAGAGUGAGUGUUCGUUGGUUUUGUGAAGGUUGUGCGGGUUCUCGGACCUACAUUCUCAAAAUUAGCCAAUGGGUUUGCAUGUUUGAAACUAUAAUUUUGUUUGUUAUUAAUUUUAUUCUAAGAUGGGUGGAUAUAGUGAUGACAUUAUCCUGACGGUAUGUUAUCUUUCAUCUAAAAUAAUCAUCUUUUAUCUUCAUCACUCACUUAUUCUCUGAAAUCUCUAAUAUAGGAUUGCAUUUAUCAACACUCCUCAAUAGAACCUGUCUUUUAUGGGCCACAUGUGCAACCAACACUCACUUUUUCUCAAGUAGCACAAGAUUGUCAUGAAAUUGUCGUUAGGUUGGGCCGGAUCGAGAAGAACCCGCUUGAUACAAUUCAAGAUAUAAGCCUAGUGGCUCAUUAUUAAUCACACCCAUAUUUUCCUAACAUAAUCACAUGUACAACUUUGCAGGCGUUCAGUUUUAUCACAAUCAACCUUAGUGAAAAGGGGAGACAUUUAAUAUAAUUUGUUAUUUAUUCUGCCAAGUGUUCGUUGUGAAUUAAUACGAAUUAAUAAUUUGGUCAAGUUGACUGAAUUGUAAUCAACUUUAUAACUAAUAUAUUCUAAACAUUCAAUGGAUAUGCUUCCUGCGGGUUAGAAUUUCUUGAUCAAGCAUGCGUCAUUGGAGCCGAUUCAAACGUUGCUAUAUACUAUCACCUUCAGAAAAUAGAUUUCUAUUACUAUCAGACAUGCAUAUAAAAAUUCAGUUCAAAUAUCAUGUCUCCAUCUUAUGUUUGUUAGCUAUUUCCUUUCUAGCUAGGUCAUCAUCAGUUAAACUUUCAUGAAACUUAUUCUCAUUAAAUUAUCAAUGAUAACAUUGAAUUUCAACCCCCUUACCAAAACAAAAGUUUUGUUAUACAUUUCAUCGAAAUUGCCAUUGAGGUCACAAUACGUAUUGAGAUGUGAUACUAAAACACAUAUAAAUUGUAGUUGAAAAAACAGCAAUGUCACUCAUGUCAAGUUGAAGGUAAUAAUUUUCUUUUUUUUACAUUGAAUAAUCAAAAUUUCUUUGCUCUAGAUGUGAUCGUUGAAGAAUGCUCAAUCUUACUUCUGAAAUUUAGAGAGAAAAUAAAAUAAAACUUAUAGGGAAUGGUUUUACUAUUAAUUGAACCGAGGUCUAUCGGAGGAUCAUCCUCGUCAACAGAUGUGGUGCCGUGCAUAGGAGGCGGCAUAAUUACAUUGUGGUUGUGUUAAUGUAGCCAUAAUAGUGGUAAAAUGAUUUGGUCGAGAAGUUCUUGAGUUCAACUCUCAAUGAAAGUACCAGUUGUUGAAACCAAAUAUGUGUGUCGUCGUGUGUGCUGGAGAUGCUUAAGCUCGUUAACUUGUAAAAGAACAAACGACUGAAAGGCAAGCUAGAGACCGAAGGGGUGUGUGUCUGUGUGAUGGCUAAAGGUUAUCCGACGUCAAGUCAGUAAGCAAUAUUAGGACUCAAGUAGUGGGUAAGAGAAUAAGUGUGCAAAGAUAGCGUUACCAAACAUGCCAUUUUUAGGGUGUAUUUAGACAAAUAGAGGAGAGGACCUUUUAGGAUAGUAAAAUCCUUAUUAAACCAGAAGAAUCCCAGAGGAUAUCUAGGAAGUAGAUAUUGAAUCCUCUUAGGAGUGUAUUUACUUGCGGUGCAUGUCAAUCCUUAGAUGGUAAGGAAUCCAAGAUUAUAGAAAACCUGAUGAUUCCAUACUGGAUUGGGUUCUUGAAUCUUAUGGAACAAGCAUGGUUUAUUUCAAUGAAGUCGAUGGACUUCGCCCGCUGAUUCCAAAACAAGAUGAUUGUGGCAUCACUGAACCGUUUAUCAGCUCUACAAUGGAGGGUGUUGAGUCUAUGGCUGGACUACUAAGGUAGACGUCUUCCAAUCCGUCUUACUCUGGCUCUGAAAAAUCAUGAUCCCACAGUAAACAAUCAAAACUACUAGUUCAUUUUUAUAAGAAUAUUACUUGUAUAAAUGUCGAAUCCAUCAAUGAAUAAGUUUCAGAUAAAAAAAAAUGCGAUAACAUAAAUUUGGACGGCAAUUUCAUAAUACAUUCAUUAAGCUUGAUUUACUAGUACAAGUUAUUAUUAAAUAACAAACUGAUAUACCAACUACUGUAUGUCUCUUUCGCAUUGUUUAAAUAAUGAAAAAUAAUAAUAGAUAAGUUAAUACUAGAAAACUUCAAUAAUUCCCUGCCUAACAAAUAUAAUAGUAAGUUUCAUGUAACUCAAACUUCAUUAGCUAAGCAUGGAAGAAAAAAAAAAGUUAAUAAAUAAAUUUCUCUGUGAUGAUAAUCAAGACUUCAUACUCAAUGUAAUCAGGAAUAAAAUCAUUUAAUAUAAGUUGUCAUUUAUUUUUUGAAAUUUCUGAUAUAAGAUUGUAUUAUUCAACGCUCCUCCUCAAUAGCGCCUGUCUUUGUGGGCCACAUGUGCAACCAAUUUCACAUUAGUAGCCUUUUAUUUUGUUUCUUUCUCUCAAGUAGCGGUAGAUUGUCAUAAAAAUUGUCGUUAGCUUGGGCCGGAUUGAGGAGAAUUUGCUGGAUACCAAUUCAAGAUGUAAGGCUAGUGACUCAUUAUUAAUCACAUUGAUAUUUUCCUAACUUAAUCACAUGUACAGCUUUGUAGGUGUUGAGUUUUAUAACAAACGACCUUAGUGAAAAGUAGAGCCAUUUAAUUGUCACGUCCUAAUCCCGACAUAUGUCCAGGACCGACACGUGACAUCAUCAAAUACACAUAAAUCUAACAUACCUUGCUUCCGGGAUAUGUACCAAACUCAACUCAUGCCUCAAAAUUUCCAAUAUCAUUCACUAACCACCAAUGCGACAAUUCCAAUCCCAUAACAUCAUUUCCAACAUCCACAAGUAUAGGCACUUGGACCUAAUACCUAAGCUCUAAUACCACCAAAAGUUGUCACCAACAAUCCCACGGCGCUGUCGCCGCCAUACACCAUGAAACGGCUUGAAUUGCAUCGAAUUUUUGGGUGAUCAACUAGGGAAGAGAGGUGUAAUGGUGUUUGUAGGUGGUGGGAGGUCAUAAAACACCGGAAAUUGGACUGAAAAACCCGUCAGAAUUGGCAGCAGGGGCGCGGGUCGGGUCGGGGUGUACGGUUCAAAGGGAAAAAGGUCCGAGUUUAGUGCUUCUCAAAAGUUGUCACCAAGAAUCCCACGAUGUUGUCGACACCGUACAACAUGAAACGGCCUAAAUUGCAUUGAAUUUUUGGGCGAUCAACUAGGGAGGAGAGAUGUAAUGGUGUUUGUAGGUGGUGGGAGGUCGUAAAACACCGGAAAUUGGACUGAAAACCCAUUGGAAUUGGCAGCAGGGGCGCAGGUCGGGUCGGGGUGCAGGGGCCAAAGGGGAAAAGGUUCGGUUUAGUGCUUCUCACUUCCCUCAUUUCUCUCCGUGAUCUCCCUCCUGAUUGGGUACUCAACCUUUCCUCCUCCUUCUGAUUCAUCCGCCCCCUCAUUUUCUCUCCUUUCCUUUCCAUCUCAGCCACAUAAGUGGCAUCACAGAUAAAUGCUCCAGCCAUCUGGAGCCUUCUAGAUUAGGUUAAAAUUAUAAAAAUAUCAUUGACUUUAAACGUUAAUAACUUCAUUGUUAUAACUCCGUUUCACGAACGGUUUGAACCUACCCAUUCAUGAGAUCGAGCUAUAUUCAAAAAUAUAAAUUGUGACCUUGAAAGGUCUACAAAUUUUAAAUAAUUAUUUUCCAAACUUCAAACUUCGUAACUAGUUAGAUUAAAAUCUAAAUUCCAACAAAUUAAAAUAAAUUUUCGAAAAAUAUUAUAAAAUCUCAAUAAUAAAAAUACGUAUAUUAUUUCACAUUAAUAUAAUUUGUUAUUUAUUCUGUCAAGUGUUCAUUGUGGAAUAAUACGAAUUAAUAAUUUGGUUAAGUUGACUAAAUUAUAAUAAACUUUAUAACUAUAUCUAUUCUAAAUAUUCAAUGGAUAUGCUCGCUGCGAGUUAGAAUUUCUUGAUCAAGCAUGCGUCAUUGGAGCCGAUUCAAACGUUGCUGUAUACUAUCACCUUCAGAAAAAAGAUUGCUAAUACUAUCAGACAUGCAUUUAAAAAUUCAGUUCAAAUAUCAUGUCUCCAUCUUAUGUUUGUUAGCUAUUUCCUUUCUAGCUAGGUCAUCAUCAGUUAAACUUUCAUGAAACUUAUUCUCAUUAAAUUAUCAAUGAUAACAUUGAAUUUCAACCCCCUUACCAAAACAAAAGUUUUGUUAUACAUUUCAUCGAAAUUGCCAUUGAGGUCACAUUACGUAUUGAGAUGUGAUACGAAAACACAUAUAACUUGUAGUUGAAAAAACAGCAAUCUCAUUCAUGUCUAGUCGAAGGUAAUAAUUUUCUGUUUUUACAUUGAAUAAUCAAAAUUGCUUUGCUCUAGAUGUGAUUGUUGGAGAAUGCGCAAUCUCACGUCUGCUACUUAAAAAAAAAAAAAAAAAAAAAUUACAACGUAUGGUCAAUGGUUUUACUAUUAAUUGUAUCGCGGUCUUUUGAGAUCAAAUCUAACACCUUGUUGGAAUGGGUAAAUAAUAAAAUUAGAAAUAUCAAUGUGAUUAGUAGUAGACCGUUGCUCCGACUGUGACAUGUUGAUAGUGAUUCCUUCAUCUGUAUAACACUCAACCCACAUUGACUUGAUUUUGGAAUUAGAUAUCUGUGAUCUAAACUGUUAUUGCAUGGUUUGACCAAGGAGCUAGAUUUAUUGUAAAAAAUAAACUAUCAUAGAAAAUCUGCAACAGUACGAGAAAUUUGUAAUGGAUAUUUUAGGUAGAGCAUCUUCAAUCAUUAUUAUUAUUUUCUAAUUUUAACAAAAAAAUUACUAGAGAAUUAGUUUAGAAAAUACUUUAAUAUUAACUAAAAAAGUAAAAGAAAUUAAAAGGGAGAAAAGGAGAAAAAAUUGGUUGUAAGGUCAUCUCCAACGGAAAUGUUAAAUAUAACUCCAUCCAAAAUUAUAGUCUUGUAAAAAAUUAUUUUUAAAUGAACAAUAUUAGGUCAUAUUCAUAUACCAUCUCCAAUUGAAAGAGCUAAACAUAGUCCCUCAAUAACUUAUUAGUUUUAAGUUUAUACUUUAAAUUUAUUGGCUACAUUUUGAUGUGUCAAAUCUAGCCGUUGAAUUUAAAUUAAAUGUUGCAACUAAGGAGUUGGGCCCCCAAAAAGAGGCUAAGAGCCUGAUGCUUUUUUGGCCAAAUAAUGACAUUGUGGGCUGCAUAUAAUUACAUAAUCAUCAGUUGAAGGUGAAUUUUUGGACAAAUUAAGCUUUUUUUUUACUUUUGAAUCUUUAGUCCUCUCCAUUGAAAAUGACCUAAGAAGCUAAAAAGAAGAAGACGGCAUAUGUAACACAAAAACUAAACUCCUUGGAACAGAUAAACCCCAUAUUACAAAAAAUAUAAAAAGAUCCAAUGAAAUAAAAGAUAAACGUAAUUUUUAACUAUCUUAAUAUGAUAGCACUUGACCUCUCAUAGCAAAUUUUAUGACUAGUACAACACUUGAACGACUUGCAUAGAGAAUAUAGUUGUAUUCAGUCAGUUUCGGAAAGGAUUAGCAGGUACGGGUAGAUUGUCACCCUCUCCUUCUAACAUUUGAAUAACAACUUUCAUGGAAGGGCGAUCUAUUGGGUGCCAUUGGACGCACCAUAGACCCACAAUAGCUAGCUUCUUUGCAGUUUCAGCAUCUCCUCCGUCCUCAAUGUGAAUCCGUAGGUCGUCCCCUUGUUCUAAAAGGUUAUAAAUCCAUUCUGGGAAGUAGACUUCGCUGCUGGUGGAGUCCUCUUCCAUGAACUUAAAGUUUUUUCUUCCCCCGACCAUUUCCAGCAGCAACAUUCCAAAGCUAUAGACAUCUGACUUGUAGGACACGUUUCCAAAGUUCCUAGAAAACACUUCGGGCGCAAUGUAGCCAAUGGUCCCUCUGAUGGUAGUCAUGGAUACUGCGCUUUGAUCUCUAGAGCACAACUUGGCGAGACCAAAAUCGGAAACUUUUGGGGUGAAAUUCUGGUCUAGCAAAAUGUUGUGUGGUUUGAUAUCGAAAUGGAGGAUUCGGAGGUCACACCCUUGAUGAAGAUAUUCAAUUCCUUUGGCUAUACCUAAAGCAAUCUCAUGCAACUUAUCCCAACCAAGGAAAGCGCUUUUACUAUCUGCUGAUGAUAAGAUAUUCUGUAGUGAACCAUGUGGUAGAUAUUCAUACACAAGAGCUGUUGUGUACCCAUCAGCACAAAAACCAACCAAGCGAACCACAUUGACAUGGUGGACUCGACCCAUUGUUCCGACUUCAUUUAUAAAAUCUUCUCCUUUUUCAUUAGAAUUGUUGAGGAUUUUCACAGCUACAAGUAAGUCGGAGGAAAGCUGUCCUUUGUACACUGUUCCAUAGGCUCCUUGACCUAACUUUUCAUUGAAUUGAUUUGUUAUCCUUUUAAUAUCAGCGUAGGAAUAUCUACUUGGCUUGUGUGCUAUGUAAUCGUCCAAAAAUCUUUCAAUCCUCAACUGAUUUGUUUUCUCUAUUUUGUUGGAGCUAUAAACACGGUAAAUGAGAGUCCCCACGACUGUUACAACCACAGAAAAUGUGAAAAUACCUGCGGAUACAGAAGAAACUCUGCGUUAAGAACCAACCCAUUUCUAAAUUAAAUUAAAAUAAAUCACAAUUGCCUCCAACUGAUAAAGCCCCCAGAAAUCAGAACUGAAUUUAUAUUAAUACUUAUACAUAUAUAGGGUACUUUUGUGCGGAAUUUAACGUGUCUUUUAUCGGGAUGCUGGCACUGAGUUUUGAACUCAUAAGGUUUUCUUGUACCUUAAAAGAAGAACCCUUUCAAGGAUGGGAUCCAAAACUUGAAAAACAAAUGAUGAAAAUUGGUGCCCAUUGAAGCAAGUUCCGACUAGGACCCUAAAAUAUAACAUACUGGCAUGAGUUUCAAUAAUCCAAACCGUCUUGGAUUUAGCUCUCCAUCUAAGAUUUAUGAUUAUGGAUCACACAAGUGUGCAAAAAUUAACCUAACUAUUAGCAGUUCAAAACUUCAAAUUCAAUCUUGUAAAAAUAGUGCUUAUGUGAACAACUUACCAGAUAUCUCUAAGCUUGUCCUUCCACGGGUACUAUCUGUAAAAGCAGGUUAAUUAAGUCAAUAAUUAGUACUUUUGUUAUCAAAAGAAUAAAAUACUUGAAGAAUUGUUUGCAUAAAUCUUUGUUUUCAUUUAAUAUAAAAAGUUCGAAUAUAUUCUUUGAGUCCAAAUUUGUUGUAUAUAUUAUCUGCACAAACUAGCUAAUUAAAACCUUGUCAAUGUGAAAAGGAGGGAAAUAUUUGCCGGCAAAGUACUGCAACAAGUCAAGUUAAAUGGGAGAUUAAAGGAUACCUUCGCUCACGCAUUCAGUUUCUGCAGUCUGAUUAUCUGUGAAAUUAUAUUGACCAAUAGUUCUUUUCAGUCUGCAAGUCUUGCCCAUCUCUUCGCAACGUCCACAUGAUGGUUUGGACCACUGCAGCAUCAUAAGGUUGAAUGCUCCCACUGAUGAAAUUUGUGGAAUUGAUUUGUAAUCACGCAGCUUGGUACAAGACACUAGGUUCAUGUCAUCAAUGGAACACUGGCCGUCGACAGCAUAGUAGUUAGUUUGGUUUUCAGGAUUGUCAACGCCGUAAGGGCACAGUUCAAUACGACAAUAUACGUCCGUUUCAAGUAAUGGUGACGGACAACUGAAUAAAGUAUAAUUAGUAUUAAACGGUCCAUGCACAAAUUGAAAGGUCGAGGAAGAUAAGUUGAAUUUGAAAAUAUCUUUCGGCAGGCAAUCAUUUUGGAAAUAUACUCCGAUUUCUUGAGAUGCGUAGUUAAUCGUUUCAACGAUGAGCUUGUUAGAUGAGGAUGGCAUCUCAAGCACGGUUCGGCCGUCGGUGGUGCAUGAUAGAUCAAAGCCAUGGUAACCGCACGAGAAUGGCUGUCCUUUAAGUCGAAAUGGGAAUCGGAUGGCUGGACCGUGGUGUUCACAGUAACUUACUUGCAGUUUUCAGGGACUACUCUGUCGCCAUACACUGUGCUUACAAAUCCAGCAUCUGCUAUCAUGAGAAACCAGCACAAGAAAUUGAUCAGAAGCAUUCUACCCGAUGAGAAUAUUGAUUGUAGAAGUUUGGUAUCUAGGUAAUUCAUAUAUAUGAUUGUAUAUAAGAUAUGGGAUUGCAGAAGUCCCCUAUGUUUUGGGUAAUAAAUAAUAAUCUCUUUUUAUAUUCACCCCUUCGUUCCAUUUCCUACCCCCAAAAACGGUUUUCUAAAUUUUUUGAAUCUUCCACCCAAUUUUGUUUUUAACUUCAAUUUGAAGGACUUGGUCGUGAUUUGCGUAUGGGUUAUUACCAUCGUUAUCAAAUAAAAACUUUUAGUCGCUUUUAUGCAACUGUUACUCGCCGUAACGUGAAACUGGAAUGCUGGAAACUGUUUCUUCCCCAGAUGGGCCAGAUCAACCCAUUAUUAUACAUGUUAUUCCGAGUUAGAUGAGCUGGGUUCUGUGGUCGUGUGGCUUCAAUAUUGGUCAUUCUACAUUGAGUAAUACUAGGUAGAUUAACACUUUAGUAAUAAUCCAAUUAUCAGCUUCCAUGUCAUUCAGUUUACAAAAUUUAUUCUAUAAAUUUAAUCUUCCUAACAUUACCCUUCUAGAAUUUGGAGUUGUCAAUAUAGUUUGGUUGUGCAAAUUUGUUCUCUUUAGUUUAGCCUUGGUUGUUGUUGUUGUUGGAAUUAGUAUUGAUGAGACUUGUGUUUUGCAUAAGUCUUUAAUGUAUUCUUAAAGUUUUUGCGAUAACUAUGGUUGUUGUGUUGAAAAACUAUUUAUUAAAGUUUUUUUUUUCAUUCAAUAAAAGAAAGGUAAGUGAUUUUUACACACGAUUUUUCUUCUCCUACGUACACAUGUAUAUGUACAUUUCUGGCCUUUAAAAAUUAAAAAAAAAGGCAGAAAAAGAAAAGAGUGUUAUGGGAAAAAAAAUUAUAUAUAUAUAUAUAUAUAAUUUUUUUUUUCUUUUUAACAAAGGGAAAGGAUAAUACUUGGAUCUUCCCAGGAAAGUACCUAAUUUACUGACCAUCUUACAUGGCCAAUAAAUUUAAAACACCUAGCAUUUUAACUCUCUUCUAAUAUUUUUCUAUCUCUGUCACCAAACACAUUUUGUACCUGAGAACCCACUCUUCUUCCCAUCUUCUUUCCUUGCCCAGCCCAACCCUUCACCUUCUCCGGCGACCAUCUCCAUGCCUAUCGGGAGUUUACUAAUUGGGCCACAAGUACCCACCGGGGAUAAUACUUAUUGGGCCACUUAAGAGUGAGUAAAUUGAAUAAUACUUGGGUCCUAACCUAUCAGGAUCAAGUGUACGGACCACUGACGUGGUCCAAUAAUAUAAAGAUAUCUGUAAUUUUAAAACGGGAUGUGCUAUUUAUACAUCAUUUUUUACUUUUUACAUACUUUUUAUUAAUUUUUAUCUAUUAAUCUUCUUCAAUUUAUCCGAUUCGACGAUUGAAAAUUAGAAAGAUAUGUGAGAAGUAAAAAAAGGUGUUUGGAUAUCACAACCCUUUUAAAACACCACUAUUCUAGUACCCAAACACCUUAAGUCCUAAACUCAUAACCCAUAACCCACCUCCAGAUUCCCUCCUCAGUCGUCAUCGACCGAUGCCCCACCUUUUCACCGCCUUCCCUCCCCAGCAUCUCUCUCUCAUCAGAGUCUGCCAUUCUUUUGAACUUCAAAGUUCCAAACCUCUUGUCUUCCACAACCUCCAAUUUCGAGGAUUUCCAUAACCCAAUUUUACCGAGCUCAGAUCUGGACGCCGGAGAGGGAUUGAAACUGACGUCGCCGGAGAAAAGAAGGAUUGGGAGUGGUCGGGAGUGAGACGGAGUGCGGGGGUUGCUGGAGAAAGAAGGGUUGAGGAAGAAGACUGGGUGAUUGGUUACAAAAAUAAGCAAGUGUUUGAUUGAGUUUCACUUGACAGGUGGAAUAAUUUUAUUGGACCACGUAAGUGGUCAGCUUGUCAGUAUUAUCCUAGUUUUACUCGUCUCGUGGGUUUGUCUUUGCUUCGUUUGUGAUAAAUAAUGGGCUCCAAGCGGCCAAUUUAUAUCUGAAUUCGCCCCUUUCUUGCCUUAAGCCAAAAACCCUUGCUCCCCAUUAAGCUUUUUUGCCCUCUUCCAUAAUUUUGAUACAUUUAUAUUCUCUUUUGCCAUGUGUAGAGGAAGUCUCUUACUAGUUGCAUAUGGAGCCCUUCUUCUACUCUUUCUUCUUCCCUUUAUUUGUUCCCAAACAUCGAUACCUGAAAAUAAUUCUGUUUGUACUCUUUCUUGUGGCAAUAUUAACAUAAGCUCUCCAUUUCGGUUAAAAGGAGACCCUCAACACUGCGGCAACCCUACGUAUGAGCUAACUUGUGAGGAAAAUGUUACAGUCCUCUACUUUUAUAACCGAAAGUUUUACGCCAAGGCGAUCAAUUACAAUAACUUUACAAUCCGAGUUGUGGAUGCUGCUGUUCAAAAGAAAGAUAACUACUACUCCAUCCCACGUUACUCUUUAACCUCAUCCAGCUUUGGUUAUUGGGAUCCUUACAGCACUUCUAGUCCGACUGACGUGGGGUUCAAAUAGUCCAGAGAUAAGUUACACGGCACGGCCUAUAAUUUUUAUGAACUGUCCAAAUCCAAUGCAUUCUCCUGGCCUUGUAGAAACAGCUCCAUGCGUCAAGGACGGCACCUGCUCUUCCAAUUCUUCUCUGUCCAAUGGUUUAAGAAUGUUUUCUUAUUCCAUCUCUGGCUGGAAUGGCUCUGUAACUUUUUUGGAUUUGGGGGUGUCCUGUGAAAUAACGCAGAUGCUUAUGGUCUCACUUUCGUUAUCCGUACAAGACAUGCAUCAACACUUGACGUCCUGUGAAGGCAUAUAUAGUGAAAUAGCGCAUGGCUUCGAGCUUUCAUGGUUUCACCAGGCUUGUAGCACCUCAAACUGCACAGAUGUGGAGGAAUGUGUGCUCAACAACGUGAGCAAAAUUGAGUGCUUUCGCUAUGAACCCAUAUAUGAACCCAGAAAAGGUAGUGUCUAUUAUUCCUCUUAUUCACAAGGCUAGAGUAACCAAAUUAAUUCAGCAAAUAAUUAGUCUUCAAUUACUGGGAGUCUGUCUGUCUAUGGAGAUUUAGGUUUUACAACUCCAGAAUAAAUUAUGUCAUAUAAAUAUUGACCAGAUGAAUGGGAGAGAAGCCUUUAUUUCUAUUAAGUACGUAUUCGAGGCUAAAUUUAUUGAGGAAGGAUCGCUACCUUUCUUUUUGUACUCUCUCUUUUUACCUUUUUACUUUAUUUUUAAGAUCUUACAUAUUACUUGAUAAUCAAAACUGUUUAUUUUGCAUACCACUAUAAACUAAUACUGCAAAAUACCCCAUUAAUCAGAAUUUAGAAAUCAUUUCACUGUUCGAUUAACGAUGUCAUGAUUUUUUGUUUAACUAAAGCACAUGGUUCACCUUUUAUUGAAUUCAUAUAUUGUUAUUUUUUCUAGUAAUAUUUAGAAAAUAGGCAGUUUGGAAUAUCAAGUAAUAUUGUAAGAUCUUACAAAAAAGUAGAAGGUAAUAAGUGAAAGUACAAAACAGAAAGGUAGCUAGCAUUCUCCUAUGAUAUUAAUUUUCACCUUUUUUUUUCUCUUAAUGGUAAAUAAUAUAUGAUCCUUUAGAGGAAAAAUAAUAUAUAUGAUCCUUAAUGAUAAUUCUUCUUCUUUUGCAAUGCAGAACAUUGGUACAUCAAGAUACUAUGGGCACUAGGCAAGUGGUUUACUCUCUAACGCAGCUUCUAUAUAAUACAUGUGUAGUUAGUUUCUUUAUUUGUGGUCACCUUGAUAUUUAUUAAACUUAAAUUACAUUUGGAAACUAUGAUCGAUAUUCAUCACUUUGCUGCAGAAUUGGUUUUGUACCAGAUGUAUUUGUUCAUCCGCUAUGGACGGUUUAUCCCUAGCGACGUGAUGAGUCAUAAGGCCCUUUACGUGUGUCCGAUAACUGUGGCCUCUCUCCUAGGUAGUGUGAACUACUCGUACUCAGCUAUCAUGCAACUUUUUCUAGCUUCAGAUACUCAUCAUUAAAAAAUGAAUGUUUGAUGAUCACUUUGUCUUUGUUUUCAUUCUUAUUAUUAUGUUUUAGUUAAAGGUUGCAGGGGAAUAUGGAAGAAUAUAUAUGAGAAAGAUGUGAAAAGGACAGGGAGGAUCGAGGUGGAUAGAGAAAUUGUUAGUCUUUGAAACAAUCUCAAAGAGUUUUCCAAUAAUUUUUUGUUUCAUAAAUUCUCCAUUUCUCCAUCAUCCCCCACCCCCAUCCCCAUAUCUUCUUUCUACAAUUUCCCCUCGCCUUUUUUCCUCUCUCUUUUUAGAUUAAAAAUUAAAACUAAAGGAUUUCCAAACAGUUGCUUAAUUAAUGAAAAAUAUUGUUGCACUAAAGGAACAAGUUUGAUGAUAUUACAGCAAUCAAUCUAUUUGGUGACUCCAAUGUUUUUGAAACGUGCAGGACUGUUCCAAGUAGUCAAAUUUUUAUUUGGCUUUCCCUGUUUAAUUGCAUUAAUAAUAUACAAAUGCAAAAGGAGGCACUUGUCCAUGUAUGAAAAUAUAGAAGACUUUCUGCAGAAUAAUCAGCUCAUGCCAGUAAGGUACUCUUACUCGGACAUAAGAAAGAUGGCCAGAGGUUUUAAGGACAAGUUAGGGGAAGGUGGCUUUGGUUCUGUGUACAAGGCAAAGCUUCGCAGUGGCCGUCUUGUUGCCAUCAAGAUGUUGGGCAAGUCGAAAGCCAACGGGCAGGAUUUUAUCAAUGAAGUUGCUACCAUCGGAAGGAUUCACCAUGUUAACGUGGUCCAACUUAUUGGUUUUUGUGUGGAGGGUUCAAAACGUGCUCUUUUAUAUGACUUCAUGCCUAAUGGGUCUCUUGAUAAGCACAUAUUUUCUCAACAAGGAGUUAUCUCCUUAAGUUGCGAGAAAAUGUCUGAAAUCUCACUUGGAGUGGCUCGUGGUAUUGAAUAUUUGCAUCGAGGAUGUGACAUGCAAAUUUUGCACUUCGACAUCAAGCCUCACAACAUUCUUCUCGACGAGAACUUUCUUCCGAAGGUUUCAGAUUUUGGGUUAGCAAGGCUAUGCCCAUUAGAUAAUAGCAUUGUGUCUUUGACUGCAGCGAGAGGAACCCCCGGAUACAUAGCUCCAGAGUUAUUCUACAAAAACAUUGGAGGUGUUUCAUACAAAGCUGAUAUCUAUAGUUUUGGGAUGCUACUGAUGGAAAUGGCUGGAAAAAGAAAGAACUUAAACGUAAAUAUAGAACACUUGAGCCAAAUAUACUUUCCGACAUGGGUUUUCGACCAGCUGAGUGGAGGAAAUGACCUUACAAUCGGAGAUGCUACAGAGGAGGAAAAGAAAAUCAUUAAGAAGAUGAUUAUUGUGGCGUUGUGGUGCAUACAAAUGAAGCCUAGCGACCGUCCUUCUAUGAAUAAAGUAGUAGAGAUGCUUGAAGGAGAAAUUGAGAGCCUUCAAAUGCCUCCAAAGCCUUUCUUAUACCGACAACAAAUGCCAGAGGUGGUUACUGGCGACAGUUCAAGUACCGCAUAAGCUGCAUCGACAACGACAACAUCCACGGAAAUUGUUUUGAUUGCAGAUGAAAAUUCAGAGAAUUAAUAUAGCUAGUAGCAAUGUUGAUGUGCAAAGGAACGUGUAGUGUACCCAAUAAGCACAAAUAGACUACUUGUAUUCAAUGGCAUUGAUUGCUUUCUAGUUUUCAGUUUUUAGCUUUGGUACGUACAAGGAUUAGUUUAUGCACAAAUUGUCUCUCGAUUAGUAUGGAAAAGCUUUAGAUAUAUAAUUUGUGUAUGAGCAAAGUUCGAUAUCUAUAUAUUAUGUUGAAGAAUGCAAUCCUACAUAAGAAACUAAACAAAUUGCACAGCUUAUAUCGAAUGGUUCCAAUUCCAGUUGCAUAUGAGAAGCUUUAAGAGGAGAAGGUACCUGAUCAAGGCGUGGCUAUCUUUGAUUAUUUUCUCAGGAUGUGCAUUUGAAUUCAAAUUAACUUAGAAAGGUAGAACUAAUAUUUAUUCUUCAUACAAAGACUAAAGCAUAUUGCCUUCCAUAUGCGACCCAAUUAAUAUUUAUUGCAAUCAGUAGGCUUAAAAGAGAGUCUCUUUCGUUUGUGCCAUGUUGCCAAAGACAGCGAUUUCUCAACGAAUGGGUCUGAAAGCUAAGCAAACUACAUCCAUUGACACUCUUAAGAAAGUGUUGAAAGCUUGUAACUUCACAUCUGCACCAGUGAAAUCCGCAGUGAUUACCGGAGCUUUGAUAGUCGAUUAGGUCUUGUAGCUGAGGCUUAGGAAGCGUUCAGGGUCAGUCAGACGUCUUAAUCUUAUGGACUCACCGUCAAUUCCAGCUUAUUGUAUAAGUCCUCUGGCAACAAUGUCAGCGUAGUCCAUGAAUCAACGAUAAUAUUGCCCUUUGCUGGAGCCAAUGAAGGGUUCAGUGAACUGUUAUAUUGCAAUCUCUUACGCCCAACGCUCAUUGCUUCAAGCCUUAGAUACUAUAAAGAUUUUGAGCCUCCAGAAAGUAAUGGGGUAGAAACCGCUGUGGUGCCGGAAACCACAGCUUCAAUGCCGAAGCUCAUUGUGCUUGAUGAGUUGAAUCCUGAAAAAGCAUGCACAAGGCAGGAGGAAAAUUUCGCAUCGAUUGAAGAACUCAUCUGAGAGAUGAGGGACACCGGUCCACGUCCAAGCCCAAUCAUGCCUGAUCCAUUUCUGUUAAAGAGGCCUCCAUUGUCUUGUCCACAACCAAACAUCAUUUGUGGGAAUGAAACUGGUUGCCCAGCAGUGGAGUUAAAUGUGACACUUUCUGUGGCUACAACUCACUUGCUGUAGGAUCUGUCCCCGUAAGAAACUGUGUAAUUACAAACUCCAUCUGUGUCGGGAGGAGAAGAGGUUCCGGUCACGAAUUUGCAUUGGCUUGAGUUACGAAGAACUUCUGCAUACGUUUUCAAAUUCUUUGGAUCAAAGAUUGGCGCAUUCUGCUUGUAACAAUGCAGGGCAUACAUUGCGUCCAUGUAAGAUCACUACCUGUAUCUGCAACGCCUAAGAUUUCAAGAGGAGGUGUACCUACUGAUAUUUUCAGGUUUCAACCCCUUAGAAGAAGACAUAAAGAGUUUUUUAACUGAAAAGCUUCUUCGAGAAGCCCUUCACGACAAUAUGCAUUGAUUAGUGUAUUAUAUGUCACAAUAUCUGAAAGCACCCCCUUCUCUUCCAUAUCUGAUAAGAAGAAUUUAACGCUAUCAAUUUAGCGAGCUUUGCAUAAGGCAUUGACCAUUAUAUUUAGCGCUGGUUUGGUAUUGCUGUGCUUUGAAAAAAAAGUUGUUGUGAGAAUAAGCGGCUGUGCUAUGAGAAUAAGUAGCUGUGAAAUAAAUCAGCAGAGUGUUUGGUAAACUUUUUUGUAAAAGUGCUUUUGGAAAAGAAAAAAAACCAAUCUGACCGUGGGUCUUUUCAUUAAAGGAGCACUGUAGCUCUGUGUGCUUUGAAAAAAAACCAGUUUUCCAAAGCUACAAAUAGCAGCUUUAGCUUUUUCCUUUGAUUUCAGCUUAUUCUCACAGCAGCUUCUAAAAUAAGCCAUUUUUUUUCAGUUUACCAAACACCUAAAACCCUCACAGCUUUUUUUCAUGGGUGCUUUUUUUUUAAGCACCUCACUCCCAAACCACCCCUUAGUGUAUAAAUAUUUAACUGAAUCCCACUGCUAACAACUUCCCCAUAUACGACCCAUGCCAAAUCAAUCCACCCGACCUUCACAAGCCCACCAAGAAGACUAUUGCAAGCAUUUAUCGAAACACAAACUCCCUAGCUUCUAAACACCUGAAACGCCUCAAAUCCUUCUCUCAAUUUCUUAGCCUGCACAUAAGUUCUAACAAACAGAUCAAAGACCAAAGAACUUGAGCUGCAACUGCUAUAAGUUGAAACCAAAGAGUCUGCUACUUCAACACGCAAAAUGCCACUCUUUCUAACCAUUCUAAGAAUCAGAGCUUGUGCAUCCGACACUGUUCAACUACGCACCAACAUGUGAAUCAUUGCACUCAAAGACAGUGAUGAAUGCUUAAAAUCAGGACUAUUUAACAGAAUCAAAUCAAUAAACUUCAGACCCAGUUGCAAAUUUUCACGGCAGCAAGAAAGAACAACAACAAUAAGAGACGGGUUUAACCGAAACAGAAAGCUGCGCAAAGAGGUGAGGUUACCUUGCUUCAGACCUAAUAAAAUCUUUUCCACCAAAAGAGAAUCUGAUAAAGAAGCUGAUGAAAACAGUUCUUGGCUUGUACUACUACAGGGUUCUUGUGAUUGCAUACUUUUAAGACCAAGUUCCAGGUCAUUUGAUGGACAAUAUGCUAAACAAUGAGGUCUAUGAGAGUGAAAGAGUGAGUGUUUGUUGGUUUUGAUCAGGUUGUGCGGGUUCUCGGACCUACAUUUCUCAAAAUUAGUCAAUGGGUUCGCAUGUUUGAAACUAGUUACAGCCAUUGAGGAAUGAAUUCAGAAUUCAAAAAGAUGUGGGAUGCUUCGGGGCUGAAAGGGCCUGUCUACUGAUUUAAAGUUCAUUCCAGUUUGGCUUGGUUAGGUCCCAAACCAAGAACCAGUACCAAACAGUUGGUAGGCCAUAGAGUUGAACCGGAAACUGAGAACCGAAAACUUGGACCUGCAAUAGACUGACCGUAUACUGAAAUUUUAAGUGUGGUCUGGUCUCAUUGAAUUAUAUCCUCAUUUGUAGCAGGUUGAUCCUGAAAAAAGUAAAUAGCAUUCAUCAACAUUAAAAAACAGAGGAAAAUGAGAACAGCAGUUCAACAGACAUUGGAUUGCAACGAGAAUCUCCCCAAAUGGGCAGAACGAUUCGAACAGACGAUUAAUUCAUUACAAAAAUGAUCAUCCAGAUUAAAAAAACGUUAUAGGUACGAUUAUUUAAUCCAAAUUUCCAUGCUUGUUCCUAAAUUCUAAGAUAUUUUAUCAAAAAUUACACUAACGGCACAUAGUUAGUUGCAAGAUAUUUCAGCCAAAUCUUGUUCCUGAGAUUUUAAGAAUCACGGAAAGUAGAAGAAAAAAAAUUAUGAAAUCUGAAGUUUACCUCAGUGAUCGGGCGGACCAACACCAACGGCGGCGACAGGAAGUGAGAGCAGCGAACGAUGGGCUAUCAGGGAGUGGAUGACGACUCCAAGAGUUCGAGCUUCAAUAGAAACCUUCAAUGGAAGAAGAGCAGGAUGAGUUCAGAUGAGAGGUUGAGAGGAACAGGAGGAUUCUGGUGGUUGUAACGUUGAGAGAGAGAGAGAGAGGCAGUAGGCGGGAGAGGAUUCAGAGAGAGAAAGCGGUCCACGUAGAAGGUUUAGUAGGCAGUUCAUCUCCAAACAUGUGUUAUGGCAAAACCCCGUCCAGAAUGAUCUCUCCGUCCCAAUCUCUCUCUCCUCUCUACUACUGACCAGUUACGUUAAAUUAUGUCAAUAUCUUAUAUUGAUUUUUUAAAAGAGAUAAUAAAACAAAAAUAACAUCUGAAAUGAGAAGAGGGAAGAGAAUGAGAAUAGGAGGGCAAGAAAUCUUACUCUUAGAAUUAUAGCCAUGCUUAACCAUCUCCCACCAAACCGAACCAUUAAUAACUAUUAAUUUAAAGUUUAUACUUUAAAUUUAUUAGUUAGUAUAAUUAAAUUAGGGGUGUGAUAUUCACACACCCAUUUUUACUUCUUCCACACUUUUUUGGUUUUCGGCCGUCAGAUUGAAUGAAUUGAAGAAGAUCAACAGACAUAAAUUAACAAAGGGUGUGUGAGAAGUAAAAUGAGACGUGUGGAUAGCACACCCCUUAAAUUAUCGUUGGAUGAUUUCAAAUCUAAUGGUUGAAAUUGAAUCCAUUAUUACAACCGAAGAGUUGGCCCUACAAAAAGGACUAGGAGGGGGCUACAUAUGGCAAGCUUGAUGCUUCUUUGACCAAAAAAUAGCUUAGUAGGUUCCAUAGAGUUAUAGCUCAAUCAUAUGUUGGAGAUGUGUUUUUAGGCAAUUCAAGUCUUUCUUGGUUUUUUAAACCUUUUAGCAUUCUCCAUUGGAAAUAGCCUUAAAAACGAACACAGGGUAACUUAAACCUACAGAUAAAGGUUAACCGGUAACAUAUGGGCAGAUGUGCAAUCCUAAGCUAUCAGCUUAAACUUUCGGUAUUAAGCUAUCAACUUAAAUAAUUAUUUUUUUUACAAGGAAACAAAUACGAAUUUAUAUGACCAAAAAGAAUAAGAAGAGAGAAGAUAGUUUCACGUCAUUCAAAUCUCUUUUAUCUACAAAACUUAAUCGCCUCAUCGAAUAUCUAACCCAGCAAAUCCAAUUGUAUAAACUUUAAUAACUUUACUCAUCCAAUUUCAUCCAAUCUUUUUGAAAUUGAUACCAGGUGGAUUCAACUGUACUUCAAAAUCUAUAUGUGUAUUUCUCUAACUAGUCAGCAACACCAGUUAACUAAGAUCAAAUGAUUAGAUUAACAAUAGUGGAAGCAAUCAAUUUAAACCCUUGAAAAACUGAAGAAAUCUCAGCUAACUUAGAUCUACUUUAGUACAAAUUCAAAUGUUGAUUAUCUUAGUUGCAAGGAUAGGUUAUGAUGAUCACAUAUCAUAUAGAAUUAUUGAAGUAUAAAGCCAAUAAACACAAUAAUCAACACAAGACGUUUUUGACCAGAAAAAACCCACCUCUAGGUUAAAAAACCGGGGGCUUAACAUUGAGUCCAAUCCACUAGUGUAAACAAAGGUUCAUACAAAGACCACACAAGCUCAAUUCUAGAUCCCUAUCUAUGGAGCAGCUUUACCUUUGUGCAACAUUAGCUUACACGAGAUGAAUUCAUAUGAUCUUCACGAAGUGGCAUCUCCUCCUGAGCUCAUCACCUUGUGGCACCGAUAACCAACACGAUCAAUGCAAAUGAUAUGAUGAUGAUGGAUUUAAACACCAGUCAAAUUCUCCAAUCAACAUUUAAAGGAAUAUCCGACUAUAAUCUCAACUUGAUCUAAUUGAGAAAUCAAUACACAAACUAGAUCAAGAACACAACACAAAUUGAAAAGACUAAUGCAACCUAGAUGCACAAUGAUCUUGAGAUAAAAUGCAUAAGAACAAUUUUGUAGUUAGGCAACUAGAUGAGAAGGCACAAAGCUCAAACUCAAUUUUUUAAGAUAGUGAAAUGUUUUAGCCAAAGAGACAAGGAAGGCAACUAAGGGUUUAACAUGGGAGAUACCAAAUUUUUUGUCCAAACAAGGACAAAAGACACUUGUCAAUGCAUAGCUCAAUCUAAGCAAAUCUAAGGCUGAGAUUUCAACCUAGAGCAAAGAUUUCAGAAAGCCCAUGUGAGCUGACUUAAAAAGCGUGUCCAGACAACUGGACAUCAGUGACUUUUUGACUGGACAACAAAACUAGAUAGAAGGAACUCAGGUUAAUGCAUGGAAUGUAUAUGAAUGAUCAAACCUUUAGUGAAGAUAAAUUGUCUUCGAUCAAAGCCUUCAGAUAUAAUAUCCAACAAGAUGAACCCAUACUAGAGUUGUAAAAAACAGAGACAAUCUAAGAGUAUGUGAGGUAGUAUUUACAACUUUUGACAAGGAAAACCAAAUAGCUUAAAACUAGACUUCACACUUUUCUCAAUGAUAUUCAAACACCGUUAGUUACAGAGCACCAAAAUAUUUGAGAUUAUGUGGUUUUGAAAAUUGGGAUAUUUAAAACAUGUCUCUCUCUAUUUUUCAUAUACGAAAAGGAAAAAACAAAAAAAUAUAAAGGAGAAAAGGGGAGUGAAUGAUUAAGAGAGAUGAAGAGACGAAUGGGACGGCAAGGGAAGAAGACGAAAGAUUUCACGUGGGAAUUUUUUUAAUUUAAUCUCUUUGCAGAAUUAUUGUGUUUUGAUGUAACAAAGAUUGUUUAAGUUGAUAGCUUAAUCUACCAUAAUAUUAUCUGAGAGCUCAAAUACAAAAGAACAUCAUCGGUCCUUAAAAUGAGGACCUAGCAAUUUUGAACAUAUGGGUAUUUUGUUAUCUUGUGAUGUGAAAUCUCAAACCACUUAGGACACGUUUUACAUAUCUGGAAUCAGAAUAUAAAUGAAUGGAAAGAUGAAUUUUCAUUUUUUUUAUACAACGUUAUAUUUACAUACUAGGAUGAGGGUAUGAACAUGGAAACUCCUGAAAUUCAAUGACAGAAGAAUUACACAAGUGAACAGGGUUGCAAUCUAUGGGAUACAUUCUUUACAAGAAUUAAUCAUCUAAUGUGAUAUGCAAAAGUGUCAAAAAAGACCAAAAUAUGUUGCUUGAUCCAUGGCCGUAGAACCUUAAUAUUGAUUGAACGGAUGUCACAAUUUUUGUAGUGGUAUGUAGUGUUUGAUUUUAUUGGUAAGGAAUUGGCUCGUAUGAGUUAUGGUAGAUAAUUCUCACAAGUACGAUGAAGAAUUUAGGAAAAUCUUUCUAAAUUUGUGGUGUGGCUGGAGGAAUUUGAAGAAACUGAAUUUUGGAGAUUGCAAUGUAUUUGGUAUAACAACUCUUGUUUUCAUUGGGGAAUAUUUCUCUAACUCAAUAAUUGAAAUUUCUUAUUGAGUUUUCUUUUUCUCUUUGUGUUGAUAUUCUAGACCUGGAAAUUUCUUACACGACAUGUUAACUCGACCGAAAAUAAUACGAAAAUAACGAGUUUCAAGUUAACACAUUAACUAAUUGAGUCGUUAUUGGGUCAAACAUUAAGAACCCAUUGGUUUACCUGCGGAUUGUAGAAACUCAUGAUUCUUUGAGAGAACAAUUAGAGAUAGAGAGAGAAAGAAUUUUAGAGAGAGAGAGGAUUGAAUAGAAUGAUUUUCAUUAUACUCAGAAUAUGUACAAUACAAUAUAUAUAGAUACAACCACCUACUCUACCAACUAUAUCUUAACAGAUAAGAAAUCUUUUUAAUCAGAUAUAGGCUUAGUUGGUGGUCCUAUUGUAUCCUUAACACACCCCCUCAAGCUAAAGUUAGGGGGUCUAACUGAAAGCUUGGAAGUAAGCUCGGCAAAACGAGGAGCAGGCAAGGAUUUGGUGAAAAUAUCUGCCAGUUGAAGAAGAGAUGUAACAUGAUUAACACUAACUGUGCCACUGAGAACCUUUUCCCGAAUAUAAUGGUAGUCGAUUUCAACAUGUUUUGUCCGAGCAUGAAAGACCGGAUUGAAGGCCAAGGCAAUUGCACUCUUGUUAUCAUAGAAAAUCGCAGGCGUUUGGAGAAUAGGAAAGGAGAUAUCAUGCAGAAUCUUACUGACCCAACUGAGUUCAGCAGCUGUAUGGGCCAGAGACCUGUACUCAGCUUCAGUAGACGAGCGGGCAACAGUGCAUUGCUUCUUGGCACUCCAAGAGAUGAGAUUAGGGCCAAGAAAAACACAAUAGCCACUUGUGGAUCGUCUAUCAAUAGGACAGCUUGCCCAGUCCGCAUCAGACCACGCAGUAAGGCUUUGACAACCUUUAGUAAAACACAAACUAGAAUCAAGAGUACCCUUCAAAUAACGAAGGAUUCGUUUGACUGCUUGCAAAUGAAUGGUCCGAGGAGAAUGCAUAUACUGACAGACUUGGUUAACAGCGAAAGCCAAAUCGGGUCGUGUCCAUGUGAGAUACUGCAAGGCCCCAACAAUUGAUCUAUAAAAUGUAGGAUUAGAAAGUAAAGUACCAGAGUGAUCCAGUUUGGCAGAUGCAACAGGAGUGGAGCAAGGUUUAACACCAACCAUAUCAGUCUUCUUUAACAAGUCAAGAGCAUAUUUAGACUGGUGAAGAAAAAAUCCUGUAGCAGAUCGGUGCACCUCAAUUCCCAAAAAGUAGUGAAGAUCACCCAAAUCCUUGACAGGAAACAUAGUUUAUAACUGAGAAAUGAUGGAAGUGCAGACAGAGGUAGAGCUCCCGGUGAUGAUAAUGUCGUCAACAUAGACUAAGAUGAAGGUGAUGGUAGAAUCCUUUUUGAUAAACAAGCUGGUAUCAGAGGAAGAAGCCAAGAAUCCCAAGGACAAAAUAGCUUUGUAAAAGGCUUCAUACCAGGCCCGAGGGGCUUGUUUUAAACCAUAGAGAGAACGCUUGAGUUUACACACAUGUUGAGGGUGGUUGGAGUCAACAAAACCAGGGGGCUGGAUCAUGUAGACAUCCUCUUUUAAAGUACCAUGCAAGAAUGCAUUACUGACAUCAAGCUGAUGAAUGAACCAGUCAUAGGAAACUGCAAUGGACAAUAAAAUUCGAAUGGUAGUUGGUUUAGCAACUGGACUGAAGGUCUCAGUAAAAUCAAGGCCUUCUUGUUGAUGGAACCCUUUAGCCAUCAGCCGAGCCUUAUACCGUUCUAUCGAACCAUCUAGUCUAUGCUUGACUUUAAAAACCCAUUUGCAACCGACUAAAUUCAAGUCAGGCUGAAAAGGAACUAGAUCCCAAGUCUCAGUAUUCUGCAAGGCUUGAAACUCAGCCUCCAUGGCAGCCAGCCAGUGCGGAUGCUUGGAAGCUUGUAAAAAUAUGGUAGGGGUUGGAGGAAGACAAGUAAUGGAAUCAACAGAAGCAGGAAUAGAGUGUUUAGUUGCAGUGAAAACCUUCGGCUUGUGAAUUCCAGCUUUAGCCCUUGUAAUCAUAGGAUGAAGAUUAGGAGGAGUAGGUGUGGGAGUAGGGGAGGAACCCGCUGGUAUAGGGCAGGGAAUAAGAGAGGAAGAAGCAGCAGAGGGUGAAGAGGCUGAAGGUUGUAAAACACUAUCGGGAUGAGCCAACUGAACUGCACUUGGGGAAGAAGAAACAGGAAUAUUCAGAGGUAUAGGGGCAGGAACUGUACUUGUAGGAGAAGCAUCAGAAGAUAGAGGAGAACCUGAGAACAUCCCAGUCUUGAACGGAAAUAAGUGUUCAUCAAAUGUAACAUGCCGAGAGACAUACAGCUUAUUAGCCACAGGAUCAAAGCAUCUGUAACCACUAUGAUGAAGACUAUACCCCAAAAAUACACACAGUUUACUCUUGGUAUCCAGUUUAUGCGAUGAGUAGGGCUGCAACCAAGGAUAGCAAGCACAACCAAAAGCCUUCAAAUUAUGAUACUUAGGAGGCGCUUGGAAUAGUUUCUCCCAAGGACUAACGGAAGAAGAUUGAGGUGGCAGGCGGUUGAUGAGGUACACAGCAGUUUGAAAAGCUUCUACCCAGAAUUUUGGUUCCAAACCACUCUGAAAAAGAAGAGUCCUGCCCAUUUCGACAACAUGGCGAUGUUUCCUUUCGGCACACCCAUUUUGUUCAGGAGUAUGAGGGCAACUUAAUUGAUGUGUGAUCCCUUGUGCAUUAAGAAACCCCUGAAAUUCCUUGCUUAAAAAUUCACCACCAGAAUCAGACCGUAAACAUUGUAUUUUACAAUCGAAAAAGGUUUGAACUUUGUGUACAAAAGUCUUGAAGACAGAGCAAACAUCAGACUUAUAUAACAAUGGAUAUAACCAGCUGUAUUUCGUGUAAUCAUCUACUACAAUGAGAUAGUAUUUAUAACCAGUACAGGAGGAAGUGGGAGAAGGACCCCAAACAUCAGUAUGAAGUAAAUGAAAUGGCCUAUUUGUAGUACACGGCAAAAUGGAAAAGGGAAGUUUAGAGGCCUUCCCCAACUUACAAGCAGUACAAACAGAAUCUGUGUUAACAGAACCAAUCACAGGCAGCUGGUGUUUAUUCACAACAUUAUGAAAAACUAGACUCGAUGGAUGACCUAGGCGUUGAUGCCAGACAUAAGCAUCCACUUUAGUAAUCAUCAAUGCAUGAGGAGAGAGAGCAAUGCCUGAGAUUCCAUUGGAUGCAUCCCAGUAGAAAGGAUAUAAGCCACCUUCACAGGGGCCCUGGAAGAGCAUCUUCCCAGUACUUAGGUCCUUGAUAUAGAACUCAAACGGAUCAAAAGUCAGAGAAGCCCAAUUAUCACAAACAAACUUGUAAACAGAUAACAAGUUAUGUGAAGCUUUGGGAACUAACAACACAUCAUUAAGUCGAAAUGUAGCAUUCAUAGUGCGAAUUAAAGCAGAUCCAGUGUGAGAGAUACACAGACCUUUACCAUUACCAACAAAGAGUUGAUCAUGGCCAGUGUAGGGAAUGGCAGAAUUGAGAGAAGCAGGAUCUGGAGUCACAUGAUGAAAAGCACCACUAUCAGUUUGCCAAUAGCUUGGUGGAGGAGAAGUAGCAGCGGUCAUACCAAGAGGAGGUCCAGGAUGAGAUCGUUGAGAGGCAAACUGAGAGAGCUUCUCACAAUUGAGAGCUUCAUGACUAGAUUUAAGGCAUAACUGACACUGAAAAAACCGGCCAGAGUAAGAGGUAUUAUUGUGCUGACCAAAUCCUGUAGAUCUUGAAUUUGGACCCGAGCCAAGAAGACCACUAGAGGUGUUAUGAGUAGGACGAUUGCCUCCAAACGUGCGAUUGUUAUGAUAGCAAUUACGAUUCUGAAAGCGACCUCAAGAAUUACCUCGGUAAGAGUUGACACCAGAAGAACCUUGUUGAGCCGUAUAGGCGUGAAAUGGUGCAGAUGAUGAAGAAGAGGCUUUGGUCUUUCGUUUCUGAAGAGAAAUUUCCUUACUAAGAAGUAAGCCAUGAAGUUCAUCAGUGUUGAUAACCUCAGUUCUUGUUUCAAUAGAGUCAACGAAGGAAUCAUACUCAUCAGAAAGACCAGAAAGGAUGUAGGCAACAAGAUCGGAUUCAGAAAUCGGAUCGCCAGCCGCUGCAAGUUUAUCAGAGAUCUCCUUGAGAGAGUUGAGGUAAUCCGUCAUCGAGGAGUCACCUUUCUAAAUUGUUUGGAUCUUCGAGUGUAAGCUGUGAAUAUAAGUGCGAGAAGCACCAGAAAAACGACGUUCAAGAGACUGCCAGAUAGACUUGGAAUCAUCCAUGCCAACCGUCAAAGGAAGGAGAUCUUUAGAUAAAGUCGAAUUGAUCCAAAUCAUCAAGAGUUGAUCGCGUUCACACCAAGUCUCAUACACCGGAUUAGGAAUUUAAGCGCCGGAAGAAUCAAGCACAAACGGAGAAGGACACACAUCAGUGCCAUUGACAAGCCCUAAAAGCUUGAAUCGCUUCAGAACAGGGAGGAAGAGACUACGCCAGGUGAUGUAAUUGUGACGAGUGAGUUUCGUCGCCACCAUACCAGUAAUGUUCUGAACGGUAAUCGAAGAGAGAGAUUGAGCUGACAGAUUUGGACCGUCGACAUGAGAACCAGAUGAAGCAGCCGGAGAAGAAGAGGUCGCAGCCAUCCAGAAGAGUAGAGAAGAAAAAUUCAAGAAUUUCAAGAAAUUGAAGAAAUUAGGGCAGAGAAGAUAUGUUUGGGAGAAGAGAAAGAGGUGAGAAAAUUCAAGAAGAUGGAAGCGGUGGAUCGAAGUCGGUAGACAACGGCUCUGAUACCAUGUAGAAACUCAUGAUUCUUUGAGAGAACAAUUAGAGAUAGAGAGAGAAAGAAUUUUAGAGAGAGAGAGGAUUGAAUAGAAUGAUUUUCAUUAUACUCAGAAUAUGUACAAUACAAUAUAUAUAGAUACAACCACCUACUCUACCAACUAUAUCUUAACAGAUAAGAAAUCUUUUUAAUCAGAUAUAGGCUUAGUUGGUGGUCCUAUUGUAUCCUUAACACGGAUAACCAGUCGGUUUGUUCGCGGGUCACCCAUUUCAACACGUUAAGAGAAAAGUUAGUUUGAUUAAUUUAAACUACUAAAAAAACAUUACUACAAUAGCCAUAGUAUUUAAUCUCCCAUAAAGGAGUAUAAAAAUUUUCAAAACACAUUAAAAAAUUCAUAAUGAUUAAUUUACAAUUGUAAAAAAUGUGAAAAAUAUGCAAACGCGUGAUGACAUCAUCUACAUUUUGACGAUGGGUACUUCGUCACUUGAAAUUUUAAAACACUACAAACCCUCAUGAAUAGUUUUUUUAUUGGGACCCAAAAUAAAUAAAAAUUCCUAAUAAUUAAUAUGCAAGUAUGAAAAAUGUGAAAGAAUGUACAAAUGCUCGUGAUUACAUUCUCUAUGCUUAGACAAUUGUUACGUUGUCGUUUAGAUUUUUAAAAUCCUUCAAACCUUCAUGAAUAAUAUUUUUCGUUUGAGUGAAAAAAAAUAAUAAUAACUAACAUAGAAGUGCGAAAAUGUUAAAAUAUAUAUAUAUAUAUAUAUAUAUAUAUAUAUAUAUAUAUAUAUAUAUAUAUAUAUAUAUAUAUAUAUAUAUAUAUAUGCAAUCACUUGUGAUGACAACUUUUACAACUUUCGUGAAUGGGUCAACUCCGAAAUUUGACAGUAUAAUUAAUAAAACCUAGAUUUAUAUUUAACCAUAGAUUGACAUUUAUGCUCUAUUUUUCUCACUGGAUUUUAUUUUUUAGAUUUUUGUUUUGGCCAAAUUUUUUCUUGGUCCCUGUGGUGAGACGACACUUUCAAUGUGAUCCUCAUAAUGAAAAAAUUGUUAAUUAAAACCCCAUGGUGAGUUCUGUUAGAAUCCAAUAGGCGAGCUUUUUCACCUGAACAUGAUCAUCAUCAUGGAAGCACUACCGACCAGUGACCAGAUCGACGACAACGUCUUGUGCUUGUCGGUGAUUAUCGACUUGACCAAGUCGUUGCAGCUGCUACUAGUCAGGGGCAGCUGUUGUUGCAGAGAGGAGGAAUGCGAGACUAGAGGGGUUAUUAAAAAUCCACACGAAAAAACAAGAUUGCUAAUACCGUGCUAAUGAGAUCUUUAAUCCAAGUGAGUCAUUUUAUUCAGAUGUUUUCAUUUUUUUUUUUUACAUUUUUCUGCAAUCAAACAACCCAGAUUGUGCCACAUGGGCCCAAACCCUUUUUUUCAAAUGUUUUUCAUUUUUUUUUUUCUGAAUUAAAAAGUCAGAUUCAUCCAACAGCCAUAUGUGCAGAAGGCUAGAAGGCUAAGUGCGCCUAUAGCGCAGGUCCCACUGCCACUUUCCAGUCAGCUCACGCUCCCUCACUCACUCGUGAAGUCCACGUGCUUGACGCAAAAAUAAAUAAAUGAAUAAAUAAAAAAUAAACGUGGUUAACCUCAUGCUAACAUUAGAUCCACUCCGACACUAAAGCGGACAAAAAUGACCCGAUCAAUAGGUCUGGGGUGGGUGGGCCCAUUGAAUCGCCCCACUGAUUUGGAUGGGCGGAGCUGUUUUUCUUAGGUGUGGGAAUUAAACCACCUAAUUAAAAGGGCAAUUUAAUGGAGAAAAGUUGCUUCAAGUAUAAUCCUCACUCACGCCACUUAGUUCUAAAGUCUAGUGGUAUUCCUCUUCACUUGUAAGUGAGAUGUCUUAGGUUCAAUUCUUGACAAAGGUGAAAUUGAACCACAUUCACUAGCCCAUUGUAAGGUUUAACCUACUUUCCCACCCCUUAAUGUAGAUAAUAUGUUUGUUAAAAAAAAUAUAAAAAAAAAAUCCUUACUUAACCAAACGUGGAACACUACUCCGAUCUAAGCUAGUCCGAAUUUAAAAAAAGGGCUAUCUCCAAUGGAGAUGGCUAUAGUUUAACCUUUUUCUUUACAAAACCCAACUCUGAUGGAAAGUUGGGCCAAAACCAAAUGGAUCUUACCAAGCCAAAUUAGAGCAAUUUGACCAUCGGGUUGGGCAUAUUGAGUCCGCCUUGCAGCCCAUUUGUUGGGUUUUUUUUUAUAAGGACGAAAUUUAAAAAAGAAAAAAUUUUAAAAUCUAUUUUUUUUUCUAUAAAUACCUAAGUCAUUUAUACACCAUUUUUCACAUCAUUUUCAUCAUUCCACAUUAUCUUACCUCAUUUUAAUCCAAUUCUUCACAUUCUAUUCACAUCAAACACUCUUUUCAUACACACUCUUCUCUUACCUCUACCAAUAAUCUAAAUUUAAAUUUUUCAAUAUUUAUUCAAAUGACACUCAAAAUAUAUCCGGAUAACCUUAUUCAUUUAGUAACAAGUGACACUCAAAAUAUGUCAUGAUAAAUUUAUUUUAAUAUAGUAGUUUAAUUCAAUUAUCCAAUAAAGUUAAAUAACAAAUUUAUAAAUAAUAAAUUAUUGAAGGGCUAAAAAAUAGCCUAUACAGUUGCAGAUGAUAUAUAAAUAUGGCUUACCACUAUUCAUUUAAAAAUAAUUUCUUACGUAACUUUGAUUCGGACUAAACAUAACCCCUGAUAGACGUAUCAAACGAGACAUAAAUAGCGCGUUGGAUAUUAACCCGGAGACGCCAUUGUGGGACACAUCCUCACGUUGUAAAAUUUUACUUUUAUGUUUUUCCGUUGUUUCAAAACAUCGACGCUGGGCCAAACUUUGAGCCGUCAUUUCGAUCCGUACUCAUGAAAACUGGAAACUUGAGCAGUACAAGUUGCCGUACCAAAGAAGUUGUGUAUCCGUUAUUCUCAAAAGCUCUUUCCUCUGCUAAAAACUGCACUGAAUUACACAAAGUCCACUCACAGAUUGUCACUUCAGGAUUACACCAUUCCGUCUUCUUCUCCGGCAAACUCAUAAGCAAAUAUGCUCAGCUCAGAGACCCCAUUUCCUCCCUCUCAGUUUUCCACCAAGCUCUUCCCAAAAGCAAUGCCUACCUAUGGAAUUCAAUCAUCAGAGCGCUUAUCCACAAUGGGUUUUACUCAAAAGCUCUUGACCACUACACUGAAAUGGAUAAAUUGAAUGUUCGACCUGAUAGGUAUACAUUUCCUUCAGUGAUCAAUGCCUGUGCUGCGUUAUGUGAUCUGGAAAUGGGCAUGAUUGUUCAUCAGCGUGUUUCCGAAAUGAGUUUUGGAUCAGACUUGUACAUUGGUAAUGCAGUGAUAGACAUGUAUUGUAGAUUUGGUGAACUUGGCAAAGCACGGCAACUGUUUGAGCAAAUGCCUCAAAGGGAUAUUGUGUCGUGGAAUACUGUGAUUUCGGGCUACAGUUCGAAUGGAUAUUGGGAGGGAGCUUUGGAAAAUUUUCGUAGGCUGAGAAUGGACGGGUUGUUACCAGAUUCUUUUUCCAUAUCUGGUGUUUUGCCUGCGUGCGGAGGCUUGGUUGAUGUUAAAGAGGGUUAGAUAGUUCAUGCUUUGGUUGAGAAGAUUGGGGUCCAUGCUGAUGUUUUAGUAAGCAAUGGAUUUCUUUCAAUGUACUUCAAAUUUGGUUGGUUAAAAGAUGCUCAAUGUCUUUUUGAGAAGAUGGUUGUUAGGGACUCGGUUAGUUGGAACACUGUGAUUUGUGGGUACUCUCAGUUGGGGUUGUUUAAAGACUCAAUAAAUUUGUUUAGGCAAAUGGUGAAUGAAUUUACACCUGAUUUGCUAACAAUCACUUCUGUUCUCCGUGCUUGUGCUCAUUUACAGGAUCUGGGACUUGCAAGAUAUGUUCAUGACUACAUGAAAAGAAGUGCUUUUCAAUUUGAUACUAUGGCAAAUAACAUACUUAUUGAUAUGUAUGCAAAAUGUGGAAACUUAUUAGCUUCACAAGAAGUAUUUGAUCAUAUGGAAUGUAGGGAUGCUGUGUCAUGGAAUUCAUUGAUCAAUAGUUAUUUUCUUAAUGGUUGUUCUGAUGAAGGGUUCAACCUUUUUAAGGCGAUGAAGAGUAGCGUGAAACCUGACUCUGUGAGUUAUGUGAUGAUACUGUCAAAUUCUACCCAGCUAGCAGAUGUGGACAAGGGGAAAAUGAUCCACUGUGAUACGGUAAAAUUGGGAUUCAAUUUAGAUGUUAUCGUCAACAAUGCUCUUGUAGAUAUAUAUGCUAAAUGUGGCAAAAUAAAGGAUUCGCUACUAGUAUUUGAGAAUAUGGAAGUUCGUGAUGUAGUAACAUGGAAUACCGUAAUUGCUGCUUGCAUUCAUUAUGACGAUUGUAGUUUAGGGUUAAGAAUGAUUCGUAGAAUGAGGAAUGAGGGAGUGAUGCCCGAUGUGGCCACCAUGUUAGGUAUCUUGCCUGUGUGUUCCUUGUUUGCUGCAAAGCAACAAGGAAAAGAGAUCCAUGGGUGCAUUUUAAGGUUAGGAUUUCAUUCAGAUGUCCCUGUUGGGAAUGCACUAAUAGAAAUGUAUUCUAGCUGUGGUAGUUUGGAAAACUCCAUACGAGUAUUUGAGCAUAUGAGAAAGAAGGAUGUGGUGACAUGGACCUCCAUGAUCUCUGCCUAUGGGACAUAUGGUGACGGAGUGAAAGCAGUAAGAACUUUUGCAGAAAUGGAAGCAACAGGUGUCCUUCCUGAUCAUCUUGCUUUCCUUGCUGUCAUAUUUUCUUGUAGCCAUUCAGGUUUAGUAGAAGAAGGUAUGGCUUACUUCAACCGGAUGAAGAACUGCAAACUUGAACCUAGGAUCGAACACUUUGCUUGUGUAGUUGACCUCCUCUCACGGUGUGGCUUAUUAGCUCAAGCAGAGGACUUUAUCCAUUCAAUGCCAAUGAAGGCAGAUGCGAGUAUAUGGGGAUCUUUACUUAGUGCUUGUCGAGCUAGUGGAGAUACAGAUAUAGCUGCACGUGUCUCAGAACAGAUAAUUCAAUUGAAUUCUAAUGAUACAGGGUAUCAUGUUUUGGUCUCAAAUGUAUAUGCUUUAGGGAAGUGGGAUCAAGUGAGAAGAAUUCGGAAAUGCAUGCAAGCUAAAGGACUCACAAAAGAUCCUGGAUUUAGCUGGAUGGAGAUUCAAAAGAAAGUCUGAGGAUAGUCCCUCUUAAAAUUGUAUAGAGGUCAAAACGUUUGUCGGGGCUACUUUUGGGUUUGUUGGGAAAGGAAGAUAUGCUGAUUUGCAACUUCUCCCACCAUGACUUCGGAGAUGGAUGAGAAAAAAGACGUAGAAAAGGGGAGGGCUUGCCAUGGAAGGUAAUGGCUGAUGAAUAACCCUUUGGCUUUGUGGGAAACUUUUGCAUUUCUUUCCUUUUCCAAAUCUUUCUUUUGUAUGUUCAUCGAAUUAGCAAAUCUGAAAACUUCAAAGUACACUUCUCCCUCAUAGGCAACUCAUAUGAACAAACGCUAUUUAAGAAUGAGAUAUUGCAUUUUUAUAUUUUCAUGUUGCUUAAUGUUGAUGGUAUCUUGUUGAAUGCUGUAUAAGCUUUAGGUUCAUCAGUCAUGCUUCUAUGAUAAUAAAGCCUGAUUUACACUUGUCUCUCUCUUGUUUAAUUUACAUAGCAUCAUUAAGUCUGCUUUUUGUCUUACCAUAUGGUGUAGGUCCAAUGUUCGAAGGAGAGGGUUCUGAAUUUAGAGCAGACCCGAAUUCACUGAUCCGAGGUUAGAUUGUUCAUUUCAAGAGAUUUUCAUUUCUUUUUCUUGCUUAUUCAUAGAUUUAGUUGUGUACUUUUAACAACAAAAAAAAACUGACUUGAAGCUCCUUUGUUCUUAAUUCUAACUAAUAAUUAAUUUAACGAUUUUAAUUUAUUGUGUAAAUUAAUUUAUUGUGUAAAUUUUGGCUUAGUACGAUUCAAGAGACUACAAUUUUAAUUGCAAGAUUUGGUAUUUUUUUUUUAUCUGUUGCACAAUGUGUGGCUUCAGUUCUGAAAAUAUUGAGGAUUACUGCUUUCCUUCAAUAAACAGAACUUUGAAAAUUCAUCUUGUUUAUUUAUCAAGUGGCUCUGAUUGCAGAGGCAACACGAGGAUGUGUCGCUCGCAGAUAAUGUGAAAUUCUCAAGAGGAUUUAUGCGAUUCUCGGGUCCAGGCGUCCAUAUGAACAAUCUCUCCAGCUCACUCUACAGAGGCUAACUACUGCAGAACCUGAGAUUGCAGACGCUAAGUGGAAAGCUUCUAAAAAAGUUCAAAAUUUGGCGGUAAUGCCGUUGUUGACCGACAGUCUUGACAGCCACAGUUGAACACUCUGAUAGUAAAACUGAAUUCUUUUCAGCCAUUAGUCAGUUCACUUGGAUGGCUCAGAUUUUACCGUUGUAAAUUCCUUUUUUUUUUCCAAAAAUCUGGCAACUCAACAUUACUAUUUUGGAAAGUUAGAGCUAGAUUCUGAAGGUCGUAGGGUAUAAAACCAGAACCAAGUCUUUGAAGUUCCGCAUUUUGACCCAAUGUCGGGAGAACCUUCCUAUUUGAAUCUGCUCCUUCUACCUUGUCACUCUUUUUCGUGAUCCAAAUUACAAUGUUGCUUGACAAUCGGAACUGUAUUAUCUAAGCUAACCUUUAAUUUUCAACUUAGCAAAAACACUUUUUAUGCAAGGGAACUUAUCAAGUAGCUGAGAGCAUUCAUCUUAGCAACCGUGUUAAUCCGUUCGAUAUCACUUGUUUAAGACGAAUAAAUCUUUUAUUCAAAUUGUUAGUACUAUAAUUAACAAUUCCAUUAAAAAUAAUAUACCAUCAUUAAGAAUUGAAUAUAUUAUGCAAGGAGCAUAUCUCGAGUAGUUAAAAAACAUUUUAUUUUGCAAUCGAGGUCCUUUGUUUGGGUAAUAUCACUUGAAUAAAACCAAUAAAUUUUCAUUCAAAUUGUUAGAAGUCCAUUUGAAAUAUUCCUACCUUCGAUAUUCAAUAGAAGUGCAUUUGACAUAUUCCUACAUCCUAGACUCUUAAGAAUUAAAAAAAUCCUAGCUGCGGAAAAUUUCUCUGCCGCCAGCUCCUGCCUUUGGCUUUAGAGUCGGCGUCAAUCUUCUUAAAAAUCAUUCUUCAUCUCUUCCUUCUCACUUUUUGUUUACUUUAUUUGGUUUUGAAUUGUCACCGUGAAAAUGUUGUAAUCACUGUGAUAAUGACACACGUACAUAGUUCACAUAAGGCUUUGGAUCCAAUUAUCACCUUCGAUAUGGGGUUGAAGCGGGAAGCCAUGAAAGAUGUCGAAUUGCAUUGGGAUCAAGUUUAGUCAGUACAACACUUUGGGUUUAGCUGAUGUAGUGGUAUGCCUUUCGGAUGUCCGAAGGAUGUGGAGUGGCGACAUGAUUUUAUCCUUUUAUUUUGUUUCUGUUUAAUUAUUUCUGGGAAUUGACUUAAGAGUUUGGUUUGAUUUCUCUUUAUAGGAGAGUUUGCUAGUUUGAUUGCUCUCCAUAGGAGAGUGCUUGAUUUUAAGUUUUGUUUUGGUGUGUUACCCUUUGGGAUCCAUGUCUAAAGGGUGGAGCCGUUUGAUUUGUUGGAUCUACUUCAUUUGGUGUUCUGCGAUUGUAAUGGUUAUUAGGUGAUGCGAUGGACUCAUGGGCAUCGUGCUCCCUAUUCCAAUUUUAUGGUUUGAGAUUUUGUUCUCACAUGAUCCUCUUGUAACACGAAGUUUAACGGUUUAUUAAUCUAUGUAAUCAUACAACUCCAUAUGAGCUCGAAAGAGUGCGUGAUGUCUACUCAUUGGGCGAUCAAUAUGCUUUAUUGUACUAUUUUUAGAUCUAGUUUGCAAAGACCCUUUUGGGGCCAAGUUCUUCAUGAUAUGUAUUUGUAAUGCCCUUUUAUCAAUGAAUGAAUACCGUACUCUUAAAAAAAUAAAAAGCAAACAUAACGUCAAAAUGUUCUACAGUCUCCAUGUAAAACCCACCAAUUUUUAUUCGGAAUUGUUCGCAGUUCCCCACAUAAAAUCUUGAGCAAAGCUACCAAAAUCAACAUUACAAAAGCCUGCUAGACAGAUGAUCCCAGACACCAAUAUACAUAUCGUUUUCACAGGAAGGGACAUGAAGCUUUUAGUUCGUCCAAUAUGCUACAAGGAUGUCAACUCAUAUCUCCAAAUACGGCAGCAAAAUGAGCCUAUCGCGCGCUAUGCAUGGGCAUGAGAACCAGAAGCAUGUUCAGUUUCGCAGGAUUGGAGAACCAGAAGUAUAUAUGCUUAUCUGCAAUCUUGAAAUGUCGUGCCUUUUUUAGGAAAUACGUCCCUGGACACACAUGAUGGAGGUACCCCAGCUCCAUGGGUUUGGGCCGGCUGCCAAUCGAUUGUUGGAGGCAUACAAGAUGCUUUUGAAGGUAUCUCAUUUGCCAAUGUUUACAUUUUUUUUCCUAGCACAUUUUAAGGUUUAUCAGCUAAAGUUUGAAUGGCAAUUCGCUCGUUCAUAUACCCACUAAUGUGAGUGAUGGUUUUAUAUGAUAUUAAGACCUCAUGGAGACUUCAUUUUCCACUAAAUCAAUAGGAGUUUCUACCCGUCUAGAAAAUGACAUUUUCUUGUUAUACGUAAUUAUGUAAUUUGUAUCGGUGAAGUAUCUCUGUAGUUAAUCAAUACUUUAAUAUACAACUAAAUUUCUUCUACUAUUGAAUUUCACAAGGACAGGUGUGUUCUUUCAUAUGAGGUAAUGAACAUAGGCACUGUACCUUCAUGUGUGGCUGAUGAUGGGUAGGUAUCUGUGGUGUGUGUUGGAAGGGGUCUGGGUUGAAAUUGUUGAAAGUAGCUUGUACAUGCCACAUUUGGCUUGUUUUUAUAGGGGUUUCAUGGGGAUCUUUUGUCUUUUGAAGUAUCAAACAUUGGGAUCUUGAGCCUUGGCCUUUUGAUCAUCGUUCAUUUGGUUUUACAUGUAAUCUUGAUCUUUGGUUAUUCUUUUGAAGUAUCAAACAUUUUUUUUAUCAACCUUGAUGUGUUAGAUUUAUGCUGACCCGUUUCUUCUCUCCCUUUAUAUUUGUGCCUUGUGUUUGCUGUCCCUAUGCGGAUGCUGUGGUGGUCAAUCCACCCCUUGUUUACAUGGACUUUCCUCGGUUCAAGCAUCCAUAGUGCCCCAUUCACUUAGCAUGGAAAACUAAGUACAAAGCCUGGAAAACUAAAACCAAGUACAAAGCAUGGAAAACUAAGUACAAAAGUAGUUGUUUGCUUGUAGCACAUACUCAGUGCUCAGUGCUCAGUGCUCACUAGUCAAGUUCACCUUUUAUCUGUCUUAAGGGAGAAAAAAGUGAAGGAAAGAAGUGGGGGUGGGGGAGGGGAAUGGGAAAUUUGCUUUUCUUUGUUAUGGGGUAGGAGGGAGGAAAUGGAAGAGAAAAUGAGAAGGGUAGAUAUCCCUUGAGCUGGGAAAGCACUCCUCUAGAGCUCAGUAAAGCAUUAUCCUCUAACAUGGGGAGACUGAAUGUCUAGUUAUUAUGCAAAGGGCAAUAUUUUAGUCCAACCAUUUCUGGAUUUCUUGGCUUCCCUUCGCUUUUCAUCAGACAAGUCAACCAAACAGUAGGAGAGAACCAUAACCAAAUCGUCUGUUGGGAUUCUCUCCUCCCAUUCUCUCUUGCUCCAAACAUGGUAUUACUUCCUCAUUUCCUUUUGUGUGUGUCUGGAUGUGUGCAUGUUGCUGUAGAUGUAAUCGGGUCUGGAGUGAAAUAGGUGUGGUGGGAUUACUUGGGUAUGGUGGAGCAUUGUAGAUCACAUUACUGAACGAUGCCAGAUUUGAACAAGUACUAUUAGUAUGACCGUGAAUCUUGUUACUAGGCCUCUUCUUAUAAUUCUUGCAUUUAUUGCAGUUCCUGGGGAACUUGAGGAAUCUUAGAGACUCAUACGCAGCUCUUGCUGUUGGAUCAUCUGACUCAGUUGCUGGCGAGCCCUCAUCUGUCACAAGAAUAAUCUCAGAGUGUGAAUCUGCUUUGACAUUCCUAAAUCGUGACCUCGGGAUUCUCUCGGCUUCCAUUGCUCGCGAGCAAGGUGAGGAGGUGAGUUUAUGAUGAAAUUGUAGUAGUUGUUUAGGGGAGGGCCAUGAAUGCAGUCUGUUCGCCUUCUUUUUGGACUGCAAAUGUAUGUUGGGAAAAUGUAGUUUUUUCUGUCAAAUGAAAGUGAAGUACAAUGUAGUAUUGAUUCUGUAUUCAUAACACCCACACUGUUUUGUGGGACGAUCUUUAUCCAUGUUCGUUUGGUUUGCAGUCUGACAACAUGAAAGUCAUCGUUGUAAUUAGACCCUUUCUUUUAAGUUCCUAGUCUUUAACCUAUAACAAUGCGAACGACACCUCUAUUUACGGGUGAUUCCCCAAUUCCUCCGUGCUCUCUCUCUCUCUCUCUCUCUCUCUCUCUCUCUCUCUUUCCCCUCGAGCCAAACUGAUAAAUAAGAAAUGAGAGGAAUCAUCCCCAACUGGAACAUUUGACGGAUUGAAUGAAUGAAUGAAUGAAUGAAUGUAUAUUCAAUUCGAAAAGAAUGAAAAAGCAUAUAUAGAUUUCAUUUUUCUCAAAAAAAAGAAGAAAAAAGUACAUAGAUUUCAUGGCCAAAAUGAGGCUUGGGAUCAGGCCUAACUUGAACAAUAAUCAGGCCCAAAAUAAGGCUGGUGCUUUCCAUUGAGGGGGGAAAGUAUAAUUGUGGUUUAUUUGGGACUUCCAAUGAUUAUAGUUAUGGUUUGAGUAAAUUAUAGCAAUGGUCCUUUAAUUUUAACCUAAUUAGAGCAAUGGUAUCUCAACUAAAAAUCUAUUACCAUUGGUUCUUCAACUCAUCAAAACGUUCAGUUAUGGUUAUUUUUGUCAACUUUGUUAUAACUUCCGUCGAAAUAAGUUACGUGUCAUGCAUGUGAGGCUAAAUCAAGGGACAAAUAUGGAAAAUCAAAUAAGAAAAAUUGUAUCAAAGGUCCCUCAACUUUAAUUCAACUAGAGAAAUGGUCCCUCAACUUUAAUCCAAUUGUAGUAAUGGUCAUUCUAACAUAACUCAUUUUGAUAGAAUUAUGAUGAAGACCAUAGCUACAUGUUUUGAUGAGUUGAGGGACCAAUGAUAAUGAAUUUUUAGUUGAUGGACCAUUGUUCCAGUUUGAUUAAAGUUGAGGGAUAUUUGCUACACUUUACUCUUCUGGUUUAGAUUUUGUUUUUCUUGAUAUGGAAAUAUUCAAAUAACCACAAAUAUAUAGGGGGAAUGUUUAGAAGUGCUUUGAAAAUAACUAAAAGCUCUUUCCGAACAUCGAAAAUCUUUCUGAUCAUGUUUGGGGUAAAAAGUUAAAAAGUGCUUUUAGGUUAAAAAAACACUUGCAUUUUUAUUUAAAAUUUCUAUGUAAAAUCUAAUAUAAGCGCUUUUACUGGAAGUUCUUUUGAUUAAAAAAAUGGUUUAGAUGCAAUUCCAAAUGAGCCCCUAGUUUUUAGGGAAAAUGCUAGGGACCCACAUUUUUGUACCACAUUGUUGUACUAUCUAAUGUGGUAAGUGAUUUAUACAUGUCUUGUCAUUUAAUGAGUUUAGGCCUUUUAGCCAAAAUGGUCACUGAGAUUGACAUAACUCAUCACUUUGGUUCCUAAAAUUUAAAAUUGAUUGAUUUUUGUCCCUUAGAUUGUCCACAGUAAAUCAUUUUUGUCAUUUUAGUAAAAAAAAAAUUCGUUAAAUUGAGUGUACUUUUGUCAAAUCAACCCUUCUACUUGAACUGGGGGUUUCUACAAUUUAACAAAGAUUUUUUCAUAGAAGAACCAAAAUAAUUGACGGUAGACAAUCUUAAUGAUCACUUGUAUCAAUUUUAAAUCUUAGUGACUAAAAUGAGGAGUUAUGACAAUCUCAGGGCUAUUUUGGCUAAAAAGCCAUGAUUUAUCUCACGUGUAAUACUUGGGAGCCCAUAUGCAACAACAUCCAAAGUGAUGAAUUAAUUGACGUUGCAUGUACACAUCACUUGUCAUAUGAGAUGAUACAUCAAUGUGGUAUAUUUAUGUGAUCUCAUAGCAUUACUCAGUUCCUAGAUAUUUAUUGGAUGCCAACAAAAGUUCCUUAUUGUUUACGUAGUUAUGGAAGACUUUUCUGCUUUUCUAUUGAUUUCAUUUGAAAUGAUUGAACUAUUUUCUUGUUAAUUAUUGGAUACGUUAUUAAAUUUUUUACAUAUUAUAAUAAUUAUUUAAUACAAUCACCAUUUGAAGUAAUGUAUCAAAUCUCUAUUUUUACAAUAAUGUAGUCAAAGUUUCACGUGAAUUCGGAAACAAUAGUUCAUUAACUUCUAUUUAAAAGAAAAAAUAAACUAUGUUAAGUGAUGAUGGAGGUAGAUACAAGCUAGAUGGAAGUUGAAAAGAACUAGUGAUUGAAAAAGAAAGUUAGACACAAACAAAUCCAUCAACAUCUGAUAUAUAAAGAACUGAUUAACAAGUAAACAAAUGAAUCAAAAGGAACACAAAGUCAAUAUGAAAAUGAUAGAACUGAAAAUUCAAACUAGUAAAAUAUUAGUAACAUUCUCUAAUCAUAACAAUAGUUUUAUUAAUUAAGGCCCAAGUGAGAUUGUGGUCUCAUCACAAAAUGAAAAUCUAAACAAAUGGUCCUACAUUGCAAUGACAAAGACAUUCUCUAAAUCAUGAUGAUACUUUAAUAUUGUUGAAAGACUAUAAACAAAUUUCCAAGUCAAAACUAGUGAAAUUUCCAAGAAAUCUUUUGUAUAUGUUGAAGACUUGAAACUUCCAAUCAUAUAGAGGUUAAUAAAGAAAUCCAAAAAAGAAAAAAACCAUCAAAAUAUAUGUAGUUUUAGUUUAUUCAUUAACUUCUACAAGUUAAGUACUCAACUUAAUUCUCCUUGGGUUAUAUAUAUAGAUGGUGCUCAAGCGAUAAUUGUUUAGUAAGUUACUUUGGCUCGAAUAACUCAUUUGCAUCCACUUUACUAUUUAAUUUCAUUAUUUGAAUCGUUCAUUUUGUUUAAAGUUUUCAUACAAAGGUUGUCACAUCCUGGCCCGGGCCCCCACCACAUCCCAGGCUCGACUUUGCCGUAGCACGAUAUUGUCCUCUUUGGGCCCCGACUAAACUCCGAAACAAAAAAAGUGUUGUCGAAAAUUAUCAAAAUGUUCAAGGCAAUGAUCAAGGAUGACCGUGGAUGAACACCUAAAAAUGAAGAGUUCAUAUAAAUAGCUUAAAAUUUUUGAACUCUAAACACUAAGUUGUUUGAUUAUAAUCAACAUUUACGUUUACGUGGAACAUUGUAUUUGUCUAUUUAGUUUAUCGUAAUCAGAAACAUAAAUACUUUCGAGCUUAUCAUUUACUUAUUUUAUUUUUUCGAACAAAUGAUAUUAUCUGCACUAAGGGGGGAAAGGGUGAGCUUAGCUUCACAAUAGGCUAGCAAUAAUGUGGUUCAAACUCAACUUUGGCGAGAAUUGAACUCAAGACCUCUCACUUACAAGUGAAGAGGAAUACCACCAAAUCGUAGUACUAAAUGACAUCAUUUACUUUUAAUAUUAGAACAAUCUUGAUUUGCACUUAAUGAAUUUACGAUACUUUAUAAAAUUAAUGGUAGAACAGUUUCUAUUUUAGAUUUUGUUUUCAUUGAUAUGGAGAUUUCCAUAUAACAACUAUGCUUUUCACAUUAUUGUGAGAAUUUUUCUGUUGAUUUCAUAGGAAGUAAUUGUACACUUUUUAUUUUUUUAUUUUUUUUUAUUGGAUAAGUUAUUAAACUUUUUUUAUAUAAUAAUUCUAAUUCAUUUUUCUAUCAUGCCUCACAAUAAUGUGGUCAAAGUUUCACAUAAAUUUGGGAACAGUAAUUAAUUAAGUUCAUGUUUGAAAGAGAAGAAAACUAUGUUAAGGGAUGAUGGAUGAUGGAUGAUGGAUGUAGAUACUAGCUAGAUCGAAGUAAGAAAAGAACUAAUGACUGAAAAAAUAAAGUUAGACACAAACAAACCCAUCAACAUCUGAUAGAUACAUAAUUGAUUAGCAAGUAAAUGAAUGAAAUUAAAAGGAGCACCAAAGUCAAACUGAAAAUGAUAGAACUGAAAAUCAAAGUAGUAAAAUAAUACUAACCUUCUCUAAUCAUAACAAUAGUUUUAUUAAUUAAGGCCCAAGUGAGAUUGUGGUCUCAUCACAAAAUGAAAAUCUAAACAAAUGGUCCUACAUUGCAAUGACAAAGACAUUCUCUAAAUCAUGAUGAUACUUUAAUAUUGAAAGACCAUAAACAAUUCCAAGUCAAGAUUAGUGAAAUUUCCAAGAAAUCUUUUGUAUUUAUUAAAGACUUGAAACUUUCAAUCAUACGGAGGUCAACAAAGAAUCCAAAAAGAAAAAACCAUCAAAGUAUAUGUAGUUUUAGUUUAAGGAAAACUAAUAAAAAUGGUUUGAAAACUUUGAGUUUUAAUUAUAAGGACAAAAUAAAGGGUAAAGUGAAUAGUACCAUGAUUGACUUUUUAGUGUAAAAAUAUGGUUUUUCGUUAAAGUGAACAGUACCGGGUGCUUUUCGUUAAAGUUCCCUUUAGUUUAUUCAUUAACUUCUACAAGCUAAGUACUAAAAUUAAUUCUCCUUGGGUUAUAUAUAUAGGGUGCUCAAGCGGUAACUAUAUAGUAAGUGACUCCAGCAUGAAUAACUCAUUUGCGUCCACUUUACUAUUUAGUUUCAUUAUUUGAAUCGUUCAUUUUGUUUAAAAUUUUCAUACAAAGGUCAUCUCCUAAAAAAAUCAAUCAAAUUGUAGAUCGUUUAAAUAGUAAACUGUGAAACAAAAAAGAAACAAAAAAAGUGUUGUUGAAAACAAUCAAAAUGUUCAAGGCAAUAAUCAAGGAUGACCGUGGAUGAACACUUAAAAAUGAAGCGUUAAUAUAAAUAGCUUAAAAAAGUUUGAACCCUAAACACUAAAUUGUUUGAUUAUAAUCAACAUUUGUGUUUUCGUGAAACAUUGUAUUUGUCUAUUUAGUUGACCAUAAUCAGAUGCAUAAAUACUUUCGAGCUUAUCAUUUUUUUUUUUGAAUAAACGAUAUUAUCUACACUAAGCGGGAGUGGGUGAGCUUAGCCUCAUAAUGGGCUUUUAAUAAUGUGGUUCAAACUCACCUUUGGCGAGAAUUGAACCUAAGACCUCUCAAUUACAAGUGAAGAGGAAUACCACUAGAUUGUAGUACUAAGUGGCAUCAUUUACUUAUUUAAUACUAGAACAAUCUUGAUUUGCACUUAAUGAAUUUACGAUACUUUGUAAAUUUAAUACUAGAACAAUUUCUAUUUUAGAUUUUGUUUUCAUUCAUAUGGAGAUUUCCAUAUAACGACUAUGCUUUUCACAUUAUUGUGAGACCUUUUCUAUUGAUUUAAGGGGCUUUUGGAUCUAGGUCCAAAAACAUAGGUAGUUUUUUGGACUGAGUCCAGUUAUCCAAUUACAUAUUGAUAUCAAUUUUAACCAUUCAGAUAAAAAUAUUUAAUUUCUUUAAAUUUCUUUAUCAUUUAUUCAGUUUUUAAAUUUUGAAUAUUUAAAUACUCAAACUAAAAUAUUAUCUAAUAAGUACCUACUAUUUAUGAAGAAAACAAAACUGAUAUAAUCUAGUAACUACCUAUUGUGUAGGAAGAAAGAUGCUUUAUACCUACAAAGCAGAUAUAAUCUACCUGCAAAACAAAAAUAAACUACCUAUUGUAUCGGAAGAAAAAUUCUGGGAACCUACUUGGCGGAACAUAGAAAUAUAAAUAUGAUAUAAUAUACCUCCAUUAAAGGAACGAAUUUGGAGGGAAAACAUAAAAAUAUCACCCAUGAAAAGAAGAGACAAAAAAGAGGAGGAUUGAUUCCAUGAUCUAACGGAGGGAAUUGUGUGGAAGAAGGAAAGAAAGAGGGAUGAAACGGACUGGGGGUUGAGGUAAUUAUAUGGCUAUAACUAAUCCUACAAUUAAGGGAUUAGUUAAACCACAAAUAAUCCCAUAAUUAAGAAUUUUUUGUGUAUUUACUACAAUUUGUAAGCCUAAGGGGUAAAUAUGGUACAAACCACAAAUAAGCAUACGUGGAAUCUCAAUUAUUGGACCUAUUUCAAUGAAGUGGACUAAUCCUACUAAUGACUCACAAAAUUGGAUCUGUAUCAAGUUAUCCCUUGAUUUAAUAGGAAGUAAUUGUACUUUUUUUUUUUUUUUUUUUUGUUAUCGGAUAAGUUAUUAAUUUUUUUAUAUAAUAAUUCUAAUUCAAUUUUCUAUUAUGCCUCACAAUAAUGUGGUCAAAGUUUCACAUAAAUUUGGGAAACAAUAAUUAAUUAUGUUUGAAAGAGAAGAAAACUAUGUUAAGGGAUGAUGGAUGUAGAUACUAGCUAGAUCAAAGAAAAAAAGAACUAAUGAUUGAAAAAGAAAGUUAGACAAAAACAAGCCCAUCAACAUCUGAUAUAUAUAGAACUGAUUAACAAGUAAAUGGAUGAAAUUAAAAGAAGCACCAAGUCAAUUUGAAAAUGAUAGGAUUGAAAAUCAAAGUAGUAAAGUAAUAGUAAAGUAAUACUAACCUAUCUAAUCAUAACAAUAGUUUUAUUAAUUAAAUCUAAGUGUGAUUGUGGUCUCAUUACAAAAUAAAAAUCUAAACAAAUGAUCCUACACUGCAAUGGCAAAGACAUUCUCUAAAUCAUGAUUACUUUAAUAUUGUUGAAAGACCAAAAACAAAUGUCCAAGUCAAGAUUAGUAAAAUUUCCAAGAAAUCUUUUGUAUUUGUUGAAGACUUGAACUUCCAAUCAUACAUAGGUCGAUAAAGAAAUCCAAAAAGAAAAAACCAUCAAAGUACAUGUAGUUUUAGUUUAUUCAUUAAACAAGUUAAGUACUCAAAUUAAUUGUCCUUGGGUUAUAUAUAUAUAUAUAUAUAUAUAUAUAUAUAUAUAUAGUGUCACAGCCCGUCCCGGAAUUUUAAUUCCGAGGACAUGAAAAGAUGAAAAUGCCCUUAAACGGGACUAAGGGGCGAAAAUUUAACAAUUUGGAUUGAGUUGGACACGUGGGAUCCCCACAUCCCUCAAAACCUUCCCCAAUUCCCGUACCUUGUCUCUCUAUCUCUCUUCCCUCACGACUCUCUCUCACUCUCAGUUCUCUCUCUUCCUCUCCGACGCUCAACCUCACCCAAAACCACCUAAAACAUAAACAAACGUCCAAGAUAAGACCACAUUUGGAUUCCUGGAACUUCCACGAUCACGUAGACAUCAAUUUCAGGUAAGUUUUGCUUCGAAAAACCCUAGUUUCAAAGUUCCCGUGAAAUGGUACUGUUCAUGAUCUUCUAAAUGACUACGUUUUAGGCUAAAACAAGAUCACAGCGGGCUUAGUGAGGUCCCAAGGAAGCUCGGAGUGCUUCGUUGGAAGUUUUUGGACGUAAGAACACGGAGAUUGACAAGUUCAAAGUUUGGCCGGAGCUUUCGAGGAAUUUUCCGGCGAAUCCCCGGCGAGUUAGGAGUCGAGGUAGGUAUCAAUCUCUUCGUCUCUUCAAGGGCUACAACUUUCGUUUUUGAAUCACUUGAUUUCGUUGAGAAAUGACAAAGUUAUGGCAAUUUGAAAAACUGCCCG
Molecule: long non-coding RNA, 77188 nt
Filed under: Malus domestica (apple)
Lineage: Eukaryota; Viridiplantae; Streptophyta; Magnoliopsida; Rosales; Rosaceae
Description: long non-coding RNA (MDOM_LNC002054)
Source: RNAcentral